GUUUAGAGUUAAGGGGUUGGGUUUUGAGGAUGAGUUUAAAUUUUUAAAAAUAAAAUAUAAAUAUUAAAAUUUUCAAAAUAAAAAAAGCUAUUUUAGUCAUUUUAUUUUUUAGGGUUAUUUUUGUGACAAAAACUUAAAAAUGAUUAUUCGAAAGAAUUGUCUUUUCUUAUAUGUUUGUUAAUUUUGUAUGCUCCACUAAAUUAUUUGUAUCUUUUUCAUUUCUUAUCAAAAUUAGCAAAGAAGGCAACAUAAGUAAUAAAUACUAUUUAUUUCAUACUAUAUAUUAUUUUGUUUAUAUUCAUUUUUUGUUUUCAUUCCUAUUGUCAUUUUGAUAGUCACAGUUUAAAACUAAAGACUAAGAUCGAAUUUAUUCAAGCAUACUUAGAAUGAAGAGAUCAACUCUUAAACCACAAACUUACAAGACACAAAACCUGAGUCUGAGAGGAAAAUUGAGACCUAAACAAGACAACUAUCUUAUAACGUCAAUAUGGUCACGACAAGAUUGGAUUUGAGAUUCGUUUCGGUCUAGAGGAGAUUCAUGGAAGAACUAUGGUUUUAACUAGUGUUCGGAGAGAGGAAUGCAAAAACAAUAUAAGCAACAGGUUCAUUAGACACGCUUACAUUUGAUCAGACUGCAUAUGACAUAAUAUCAGAUGAGCCAAUAAAAUAUGAUAAUAACUAAUUAUCCCUGCAUUAUAAUUGACAUACCCACCAUUUCUAUCAUUUUAUCGCUCUAAUCAAAUGUUGAUUAAGAAAUUAUUAAUUCACUAAUAUACAUUCUUAUUUUUUUUGUCUAUAUACACAAUAAAAAUAGAUACUCCCAUAAUCCCAUUCCUUAAUUUAUCAUCUAUUGUUUCCAUCAAAUCUGCUUUGAAAAAAUCAAUGUGUUUGCUAUGUAGCAAAAUUUAGCAAAAACAAAUAUAGACAAAACCCAAAUUUAAAAUCUCAGUGAUAUACCUCAUCAAAAUAUCCUAGUUAUAAAUACACUACAUGACAACAAAAGAGAACAAUCUCAAUCUUAAUCUUAUUCAAGAAUCACAAAAAGGUAAAGAGAGAGAUUCAUUAGAAAAAUGGCGAUCGUGGGCCCUCAAUUUUGCGCACCGUACCCGGUAGAUUUGGGUAUCGUACGUAAGGUUAUGACGAUAACAGACGGUAACUUCGCCGUCACAGACGUCAACGGAAACCUCCUUUUCAAAGUGAAAGAACCAUUGUUUAGCCUCUCCGACAAAAGGUUCUUACUAGACGCUUCAGACAAUCCGAUUAUGACGUUGAGAGAAAACGUAAGAACACAAAACACUCUUGUUUUAUAACUUGUGCAUGGAUUAAGACACAUGAUUUAACUUUUUGUUAUGAAAACAUUUGUGCAUGUAUUAAGACACAUGAUUUAACUUUUUGUUAUGAAAACAUUAUAGAAGGUGAGCCUGCACGAUAGGUGGCAAGUAUUUAGAGGGAAGAGUACAGACCAAAAAGAUUUGGUGUACACGUUGAAACGAUCGUCAAUGAUUCAAUUGAUGAAGCCAAAGCUAGACGUGUUUUUGGCUCAAAACAAGGAAAUGAAGAUAUGUGACUUCCAUGUUAAAGGAAGUUGGAUCGAUCGAUCAUGCGUCGUCUACGCCGGCAAAUCUGAUGCCAUUGUUGCUCAGGUAAUCAUAUUUCAUCAAUAACCGGUCCAUAUAGAUAGUUCAUACACAGAGCCGUUUAUAUAGACUUAAUCGGAUGAAACAUUAAUUUUUGCCUCUAAAAUUUUUAAACCGAUUUACACAGGUCCAUAGUAGCUAGCUAAUUUCUAUUAACAGAACUGACUUUAAGCACAAUCGAAUGAAAAUAUUUGUUUUGUUUUCCAAAUUUAAAGAACUACAUAUGUAAAUCGCAUGGUCCUAAAUUAUCAAAAAAAUCUUAUUGAAAUUAAAUUGUUUUUUUUUAUUAUACCAUGUUCAUAUAGUCCGAUCGUACUAAUUUUUUUGUUUGUAUGGUUUCUCAGAUGCACAAGAAACAUACCGCGCAGAGCAUAUUAAUAGGGAAGAGUAACUUCUCGGUCACGGUUUAUCCGAACGUUGAUUAUGCUUUUAUAGUCUCUCUCAUUGUAAUUCUCGAUGACAUUAACCGAGAAGAUUCUGAAGACUAAACACACAAUUUUAAUGGAAUGAUUCUUGUUUUGUAAUAGUAUGAAAUAAGAAUUCGUGAAUCUUGAGGUUUUGUAUUGAUAUGAAUAUGAUAGGGCUUUUUGCAGAAUUGACCUAUAACUUAAAGUCAAACAGAAAACUAAUUUUUUUUUUUUUUUAAAUUGGUUUUGCCCUAUUCACCCCACAAGUUCAUAUAAUUUACGAAAAUGUCAUCAAUUUUUUUUUUCUUUUUUUUUCGAAAAUGACAUUUUUACUCUCUCACCCUCAUCAUCUUCAAGUAAUUACAAGAUUGCCAUUGUCAUCGAUACCACAACCACCAUGAACAACCAAUUUGAAGCUCUUAAUGCUCCCAAAAUCGAUUUACCCUUCUUCUUUUUCCAUUCUUGUGAACUAAACACAACAUAUCUCUCACUUUCUCUCCACAAUGAGCUAAAAAAACCCAAGAUUUUGAUUCUAAAUUUUUUAUGGUUCAUAGAGUCAUAGAAGCUAACGAUUCUGGGUGGGUUACUUUCGUUUGUCAUUCUGUGUGCUUGGAGAAGCCUUAUGUAUGCUAAGGAACUUAUCUCACCAAUUUAAGGUAUGACAUCGAGUUUUUUUCCAGAUCUGUUCGUCAGACGACUUACUUGGGAAGUCGUCUGGCUGUAGACAACUUACCUGGAAGUCGUCUGGUCAACGCAGAGGUUAUUUUUGCAAUUGACUUUGAAAUCUGUAACCUGAGACGACUGAAAUGUAAGUCGUCUAGCUUUUUUGGAGUUUUUUUUUAGCCAAACAAUAGUAGACGACUUAUUUUUCAGUCGUCCGAAAUAACAGAUUUCAAAGUCAAUUGCAAAAAUAACCUCUGUGUUGACCAGACGACGUAUAGUUUAGUCGUCUGGACAACUUAGAUUGAAGUCGUCCGCGUCUUCUCCGCUAGUUUUUAAGUCUUCUACGUUAGUUUUUGAAUAACUUGUAUUUUUAAGAGUGAUAAGUAACUUCAAGAUAUGUAAAACUCAUAUUUACAAAAUAUGUUCUCUCCCUUAGUUUUACUAAAUUUGACUAAGUUUUUCAACGCAAACUUAUAAUAAAAUAUGAUAUGCUUUGACUAGUUACUAUUGUUUGUUUUCAUCUCUUAAGUAUUAUUGUUAUAGACAAUAAUGAUGACUAUUGUUAUGAGUUGGAAGAAGGGUUAAAAUACUUCUUAAAAUGUUGUAUCAAUAUAAAGCUACCAACAUUCUUGUUUAUUAAGAUGAGAAAAAGGCCAUUGGAGUUUAUUAUUGCAUAUGAGAGAUCCAAAGAUAAGAAAAAGGCUACUGAAGUCUAUUAUUUCAUUGAUUUGUAAAUGUGUAAACACAUUGUUAGCACAUUUAAUACAUCUUGGAAAACAUUAUUACUGAUUUUACAAAAAAUUCACAACUAAAAGAGUAGACAUGCAAUUCACAAAACAGACCACAAACAAAACUAUUAUAGAUCAUUCCUCUACAAAGACAAGCUUGGAUUCCACUUGAGUAGACAAGACCACACGACUUGUAAGAAGUCCAGACGACUUCUAAGAAGUCCAGACGACUUCCAAGAAGUUCAGACGACUUUGUCAGAAGACUUUUAGGAAGUUCAGACGACUUUACAGGAAGUCCAGACGACUUUACAGGAAGUCCAGACGACUUUACAGGAAGUCCAGACGACUUUACAGGAAGUCCAGACGACUUUACAGGAAGUCCAGACGACUUUACAGGAAGUCCAGACGACUUUACAGGAAGUCCAGACGACUUUACAGGAAGUCCAGACGACUUUACAGGAAGUCCAGACGACUUUACAGGAAGUCCAGACGACUUUACAGGAAGUCCAGACGACUUUGUCAGAAGACUUCCAAGAAGUCCAGACGACUUCCAGACGACUAACAGGUAAGUCGUCCCAGAAGUCUUCCAGAUCUGAAAAACCUGCAUAUUAAAUCCAGAUCUGAAAAACCUGCAUAUCCAAAAACGUUCAAAUGACUUAAAAACAGAAAAAAUGUGUGAAAGAUUAGAUAAAUCUACCUUUACAGAACACACAAAAAUACAUAUCUAAAAAUAAUAGAUCUACCUUUAAAUUAGUGGAAGAUGAGUACCAUCUAAUUAAAAACCUGCAAAAAAGAUAGAUUAGUAAGAAAGACAUGAGACAAAACUGGAAAAUUCAUAUAAAGUUUGGUGUUUUCAAGUCAAAGAGAUUAGAGUGGGUUUGGAGAGUUUUAGUUUGAGAAAAAAGUAAGAACUUUAUACAACAAGAAGUUCCCAAAUGAAGAAAAAUCAGACAUAAGAACUUACCAAAACGCUCAGAUCUAUUAUGAAAGGAAGACUUCGUCAGAAGACUUCCAUGAAGUUCAGACGACUUCCUGGAAGUCCAGACGACUUCCUGGAAGUCCAGACGACUUCCUGGAAGUCCAGACGACUUCCUGGAAGUCCAGACGACUUCAGACGACUUCCUGGAAGUCGAAGUCCAGACGACUUCCUGGAAGUCCAGACGACUUCCUGGAAGUCCAGACGACUUCCUGGAAGUCCAGACGACUUCCUGGAAGUCCAGACGACUUUGUCAGAAGACUUCCAAGAAGUCCAGACGACUUCCAGACAACUUCCAGACGACUAACAGGUAAGUCGUCCAAGAAGUCUUCCAGAUCUGAAAAACCUGCAUAUCAAAUCCAGAUCUGAAAAACCUGCAUAUCCAAAAACGUUCAAAUGACUUAAAAAUAGAGAAAAUGAGUGGAAGAUUAGAUAAAUCUACAUUUAUAAAACACACAAAAAUACAUAUCUAAAAUUAAUAGAUUUACCUUUAAAUUAAUGGAAGAUGAGUACCAUUUGAUUAAAAACCUGUAAAAGAGAUAGAUUAGUAAGAAAUACAUGAGACAAAUAGAUUAGUAAGAAAUACAUGAGACAAAACUGAAAAAUUCAUAUAAAGUUUGGUGUUUUCAAGUCAAAGAGAUUAGAGAGAGGUUGGAGAGUUUUAGAAUGAUGAACAUUACAUUUUUGUUGCAGCCAUUUGAGAGGAGGAGAGAGAAUGUGUAAAUUUUUCUUUAUAUAGGGAGACAAAAAAUCCAAUUAGAUUAAAUAUUUUUUACUCAGACGACUUCCUGGACGACUUACAUUUCAGUCGUCUGGUGAAGAAAUUAAAACAGACGACUUACAUGUAAGUCGUCCAGAAGAGUUUAAUAUUUUUAGCGGGAAAUUAAAUAUUUUUAGCGGGAAACUAAAAUAGAAGACUUUCCAGACGACUUACAAGUAAGUCGUCUGGUUUAAAUUAUUUAAGCGGGAAAAUAAUUUUUUUAAAAAAAUUUAGGCGGGAAUAUUUGGACGACUUACAUGUAAGUCAUCUGUUUUAAUUUCUUCACCAGACGACUGAAAUGUAAGCCGUCCGAGUAAAUUAUUCAACAGACGACUAAAAUAUACGUCGUCCGAGUAAAUUAUUCAACAGACGACUGAAAUAUAAGUCGUCCACACCCUAAACAUAACCCCUAAACUUAAUUAUCUAAUUAAAGACUUCAUAAAAUCAAAUCAAACUUGAAAAGUGUUUACUAUACACAUAAAUAAACACAUAUAGGUGAAAACUAAUUUUUGAAAAAAACAUUUUAGUUUUCCAAAAUUAACCCUAACAAUACAUACAAUACUACAACAUAUGUUUGCCAAACUCCUAAACCAAAGUAUUUCAUGAUUCACUACUUCCACUCAUCUAUCUUCAAAACAAAUCAAUUUUAUCAUAUCUUAAUUUAUAUCACUUAAAACUGUUUAUAAUUACUUGAUUUUUAUUUUUCACGCAUCAAAAUAUUUUUUUACAAGAUUUAUAAAUUAUUUUUAAAAUAAACUGGUACCAGACGACUUAAACUUCAGUCGUCCAGACGACUUCCAACAUCUCAGACGACUCAGACGAUUUACUGGGACUAUAUUCGUAAAAAUGGCUUCUAUUUUUUUGUUUGGUCACAAGGGGUUGAGCUGUAAUUUCACUAGGCUUUUAGGUUAGUUUUGCAUUUGAUUCAAGUUUGGGUAUAGGUUUGGGAUUAAAAUCAAGUUGUGGGUUAGUUUUGGCGAAAACCCCAAUAUGAUAUUUGCAUGGAUACAUUUCUCUUUGUCUCGACAGAGGAUUAUCGAAAGCUUCAGGGUUAUUCAGUUCCUUGAACAGGUAAUCGACUGUACUCUUGAUAAGUGUAAGAGCAUGAUUAUUGCAAAACCCUAUAUGAGGGGUUCUUAUUAUUUAUUUAAUGCUUUUAAAUAGAAAAAGUGAUUUAAGAGACAAAAUUAAGAAAUCCUAACUUUUAAGUGCUUGUUCUUAAAUUAAGGCUCUUAAAAAAAUUAUUAAACAUAUUUUUAUUAAACCUUAAUUUUUUUGAUUAAAUAAAACAUACUAAAAUAAAACAUUUUAAACAUAGACUUUUAAAUAAAAUUAUAAAAACAAAGAUUAGUAAAGUGAAGAAGCAUUCGAAUCAGCUGUUGUCUUCAUCACGUCCAAAUUUAAGCCAUACAUGUUCAACCAAAUCAUCUUUCAGUUGUUGAUUCAUUUGUCUAUCACGAAUUCUAACACGAACACCCAUCAUAUUGGCGAUAUUUGUAUGGAUAUCUGUAGAAUACGUGAGAUCUACAUGUGAACUUCCGUUGUCUUUUCUUUGUUGGAACUCCGAAACAUCAAAUUGAGUGUAUCCAUCUCGUUCGUCUUCUACUAUCAUAUUAUGGAGUAUGAUACAUGCUCGCAUAAUCUUCUCAAUUUUGACUUUAUCCCAAAAAAGUGCUGGAUUUUUAACAAUGGCAAAACGAGCUUGCAAGACUCCAAAAGCACGCUCGACAUCCUUCCGGACAGCUUCUUGAUGUUGAGCAAAUAAAACUGCUUUCAGCCCUUUUGGUAUUGGAAUAGAUUGGAUAAAAGUUGCCCAUUUCGGAUAAAUACCAUCGGUGAGAUAGUAAGUCAAAUGAUACUCUCUUCCAUUGACAUAGUAAGUGACUUCCGGAGCAUGACCCUUUAUUAUGUCAUCAAAAACAGGUGAGCGAUCAAGAACAUUAAUAUCGUUUAAGGUACCUGGAGGUCCAAAAAACGCGUGCCAUAUCCAGAGAUCAUAUGAAGCAACCGCUUCUAAAACGAUGGUUGGUUUUCCAGAACCACGACAAUAUUGCCCUUUCCAAGCAGAGGGACAAUUCUUCCACUCCCAAUGCAUACAAUCGAUGCUUCCUAUCAUCCCGGAAAAACCACGAUACUCUCCAAUAUCAAGUAGACGUUGAAGAACAGCCGGUGUUGGUCUUCUUAGGUACUCAUCGCCGAAUAAAUUUAUUAUUCCUUCCACAAAAUGUUCCACACAUUUACGAGUUGUUGAUUCACCGAGACGUAGGUAUUCAUCGACCGUAUCAGCCGCAGUACCAUAUGCCAAGACACGAAUAGCUGCUGUACACUUUUGGAGUGUAGAGAGACCAAGCCUUCCAAGAGCAUCUUUUUUUUGGCGAAAAAAUUGAACUUCAUUGGAGAGUCUAUCAACAAUGUGCAUGAACAAUGGCUUCUUCAUUCUAAAACGUCGUCGGAAAAUAUUUUCAGGAUACGUUGGAGUUUCACUGAAAUAAUCAUUCCAUAAACGUACAUGACCUUCUUCUCGAUUUCUUUCGAUAUAAGCUCGUUUUUUUCUUUUUUUCCUUGCUUCUUCUUCAUCACCAUAAGCAAUGGUCAAAUUCUCUAACGUUGUAUCAAAACAUUGAUCAAAAAAUUGAUCAAAAUGUUCAUCAAAAGCGUCAUCUAAUGAUCCUUCAAAAGUAUUAUGAGAAGAGGAUGCCAUUGUUUUGAUUAUUUUUGAUCAAUUGUUUUUGAUUGUUUUGUUUGGUGAGAAGAUGAAAGAAAAGGUAGUUGAUUGUUUUGUUUGGUAAGACGGCAAAAAAGGGUAUAAGGUGAGAAGGUGAUAAGGUGAGAAGGUGAUAAUAAGAGAACAAUGCGAGAAUGAGAAGGUGAUAAAAUGUUUUUGAUUGUUUUGUUCGGUGAGAUGGAAUGUGAGAAUGAAGGUUUUGAUACUUAUGCUUGGAGAGAAUGCAACUUUAUAUAGAGUUAACACAAAUCCGCAGAAGACACUACAACAUCCCGUGACACUACACUACAACAGAGGCAUGACUACAAUAAUGGCCCGUGAUCAUUACACUACAACAGGAAUGGCCCGUGGAACUACACUACAACAGAAGCAUGACUACAAGAAUGGCCCGUGACACUACACUACAACAGGUUCUGAUACAAAAGAGUACACUACACAAGACACGACUACAAGAAUGGCCCGUGGUCAUUACAAGGCAUGUGAAGCUCUCUUGUCUUAUACACAUCAUCAAGCAGUCUUCUUCACCUGAAACAAACACAUGUAGAAUGAGAACAUGUUAAAUGACAAGAAUUUUUAAUUUAUUAACAAGAGAAAACAUCACGAGAACUAGAAACAGAGAUAAAAACAUUAGCAAGAACAAGAACCCGACAAAGAUAAAACUUAACAAGAAAACAUAACAUUAACCGUACCAAGACCUACUUAGACUAAUCAGUCAUUAACUCGGUAAUGAGCUUCUUUUUAGAGCUUCUUCGUAAUCUUGAAGCGGAUCUUGUUUAGCAAUGAGACUGUCAAGCAACUUCAUCUUUGACAGUCUUUCCUUCAUAACCGAAUCCUGCAUCUUUAUGCUCCACAUUGUCUGAAACUGUGAGAGGUCCUUCCCCUCACCCAUGCGUUUCUUACCACUGGCUUUUGCAGACUUAACACCCUGGGGACGGUUACUUCCCUCAUCAUCUAUAACACUGGGGACAGAGCUUGCUGACUGUGAACCUUCGUCACACUUCCUCUUCUUGGAGCUGCCAUCAUUUUUGGCCGUGUAAAGGGCACACCACUUCUGGUCAUUUCUCAACUCCUUCCAAGCAUGUUCAAGGGUGAACUUCUUGUUAUGGUUGGUGAAGAAGAUUUUGUGGGCAAGUUUGAGAACAUCAUUCUCAUUUUUCCCACUUCUUUUCUCUCUGGUUGCGGCCUCAUAUGCUCCAGCAAACUUGGACACUAAGUCAUUGAUCUUCUGCCACCUCUGCUUGCAGUGAGAUGGCUCUCUUUUUUCACAGCCACCAACCUUAGGACUAGCCUCAAAAUAUGCUGCUACUCUCUUCCAGAAAGCUACUGACCUUUGCUCAUUCCCGACAAGUGGAUCUUUGCUCGUGUUUAACCACGAGCUGAUCAACACUACAUCAUCGGUUGGACUCCAAGUCCUUCGUUCCUUACGCUCUGAAGGAGUCUUGUGUUCGAAGUUUCUACCCUCAGUAGCUUGAGUGCUAAGAAAAGGAAUAGAAGGAGAUUCUACACCUACGGAAGUAUCUUGUUGACUUUGAAGAAGAUCAACAAAAUUUAGAUUCAUAUACGGAUUAGAAUCCAUAUUUGAAAAUGUCUACGAAGAGAAGAAGGGGCCUGUUUGAUAUAUGGAAGAGAACAAGUUCUCUGAUUUAUAGCAGAGAUAGACACGAAGGCAUCACUUCUAACAAGUUCUCGAGUAGACAUUUAUCUAUAAACCACAUCAUUAAUCACUUCUAUUUAUAACUCAUACAACACCUCAAUUUAUGACCAUCCACAACGAGACUAACCAAAGCUUUUUUCAAUUCAAUAUAGCAAAGAGACCAUCACUUCUAUUAAAUACCAACACCAAAAUGACUUGACAUUUAUCUAUUAACCACAUCAUUCAUUACUCUCGGUUUAAUUCAUCACAGAAGUUAAUUCGAAUUGUUACAGAAGCUAAAUCAAUGCAUUUCAAAGAGUAACAGAAGCAAUAAUCAAUUCAUUUCAUUUCAUUAACAGAAGCUAAAUCAAUUAUGAUCGGUUAACAUAAGCUAAAUCAAUUAACAGAAGCUAAAUCAAUUCAUUCACUAACCUGUAUACACGGAUGGACGUUGAAGAUGAACCUCCCUCAUGUUUCUUUCCAUAGAACAAGUCCAUCUCCUUCGCCAAAGACAAACAAAAAGAAUGAAUCAACCAGAAACCAACCAAACCGACCUGACUGCUAGCUAACUCAUUCAUCACAAAAGCUAUAUCUAUUCAUUUCUAUCUAACCAUAAUCUUACACAGUCAUUAAUUAGCCUCGAUUCAAUUCAUCAUAGUACGUAAAUCUAUUCAUUGCAGUUCAGUUCAAAGCAGAUGAAAUAGUAAAAGAAUCACCAGUAAAUUGAUCGAAAUAAUUCAACAAACUAAUCAAUCUAGAUACAGAACCGAACACAAAAAAAUUCCCAAUUGAUCGAACACAAGUAAUUAAUCAAUCUACAGAACCGAACACAAAAACAAAAUCAAUCUACAGACAGAAAAUGCAAAAUCUGAGACAUGCAUGAUUGAAAAACAACAAAUAGAAGCUUAACCUUUGGAUUGAGGAGAGGAUGGAGACGCGAGCGCCUUCUGGAGAGAGAGAGAGAGAGUGAGCCCAACGGAGAGGUCCGUCGAGGAGACCCACAGAGAGGGUGAGAAUCACGGAGGAGAGCCAUGGAGACAGACGUCGCGAUCUCGUCGAGGAGCAACGGAGAGAAAGAUAAUCGCCGAUUUCGUCGCCACGAAGAGGGUGAGAAUCACGGAGGAGAGCCAUGGAGACAGACAUCGCGAUCUCGUCGACGAGCAACAUAGAGAGAGAGAAUCGCCGAUUUCAUCGCCACAGAGAGAAAGAGCUUUCGAGAGAGAGAGAGAGAAAAGACGAAACGAAGAAGAAACAAACCUCUCCUCUCUCCUCUCAAACGCCUACACGUGUCAAUAGGAGCCGACUCUUCUUUAGCCAAAUUAAGACACGGUUCUAGUUUAAUUAUGUGUUUUUCCUUUUUUUUUAAACCCAAAUUAGCUUAAGAGCCAGGUUAAGACCCCCCGAUAUUAAUGCUCUAACAUUUGACUUAAACAGCUCCUUCUUAUUCACUACUCUCUUUUUCGUACUUUUUAUUCUGGUAAAAGCAUCUCCAACUCAUUCUAUUCUUUGGUUUAAAAUAGUUAAAAAUGUUUUAUCCUGUAUUUUAAGACAAUCUUCAAUACAACUAUAUUUUUCCUCUAUAACAAAAUUACUCUAUAAUAAAGACUAAUAUAUAAAUGUUUAGAAAAAAAUAGAAUAGUAUUGGAGAUGGUCUAAUAAUGUAAAAUAUGAAUUUACUAUAUAAAUUGAGUAAUCCAUUUAUUUCUGUUAAUCACUCUACUUUCCCUCUAAAAUAUAUUAUCAUUAGAAUAGAACUAAUUCUAUUAUAGAAUUAUUCUAUUUUUUUUUUUUUAAAUGAACCAUUGUUGGUGAUCUAAGGAUCAUUAUGAUUAAGGUUUGAUUGUAUAAUGCAUGUAAUUUAUCUAAAUACGUAACAAAAGAUUUUACCAAUGGUCCAACAUGAGAAAAGAUUGGGAAAUUUCCAAAUGUUUUUUUGAUCAACAAUUUUGGUAAAAGGGUAAGGGUAUUUUCCUUUUUAUACAAAGCAAAUGGUGUGACAUCAUGGAAUGGUAUAUUCCAGCGAGAAAAUAGCUCUACAUGUCAGCCACGGAUGAUGAUGAUCCCAAUCCAAUCUUGAAUGAGAAUUUGAUGCAUGUUAACUCCUUGCGCCCGCCAUCAAGCAUCUUCAUCGUAAGUGAGUAUUUACCCUAUGAGAAGUAACAUGAUUAGAUUGCUCCAUAAAUGCAGAAUCCAACCAACAAUUUCUGCUAUGGAAAAUAUAAUAAACUAACGAUCAUAUUAAGCAAUCUUGGCAACUACUAGGCCAUUUGUUAUGUUUGCUAUAGGAUAACAUAAAAUUCAAAUCAGCCUAAUGAAUCAGCCUGGUAGAGUAUAUCCCACAAAUCCAGGGGCAGAUCUGGGCACAGCCCAUCAAAAGAUCUAAGCAAAAAGAGAUAAAGAACACUCAAUAAACUUACAGGAGGAGUAUAACCGGGUAGAACUUGCGAGUGCGCUACUAAGAAAUCUCCAACUGCCACUGGACAACUUGUCUCAUCACAAAGAUCAUGCGUCUCAGAAUGAAUAUGCCACCCAAAGUAUGACACUUCGAUCACCAGCUUUCCUCGUGAGAUCACAUUAUCUUCAUAUUACACAAAUCCAAAAAAAAAAAAACACACACCACAAACUCCAUUUAAUUCUAUCAAACUUCUUGAAGAACAAUUAGAAAACAAGAACAAUAACGAUCGAUCUUAGAACAUAACAAGUUCAAUUUUGCAACACUUAAAAAACACCUAUAGACACUUUUACAGAACAAAACAUCACAACAAACAAAGAUCUUUGCGUUAUAUGUAAUGAAUGUGUGUACUUGUGUUAGCAGAGAUGCUGAAAGUGGCUGGCUGGCCAGUAACUAUAGGAUCAGGCGAUAUAUCAACUCCAUGGACCUUUACUUGAUACUCUUCGUUAUUAUCUGCAACCAAACACAUACCAAAUCAGAUCAAGAUUCUGGGUUUCUCUCCAAACUUAAAUCAUCAAAGACAUUGACUUUGAACUGAAACUAAGAUUCAAACAUCAAAACCCAUCUAAAGAACAUCACCAAACCUCAACGCAUCACGAACCCAGAAUCAAAAGUCAUCGACUUUGGCCACAACUGGAUCAAAAACACUAUAAACAAGACGAAACUCAGUUGAAUUCAAAGGGACCAAACAUACCACAGUAACUGACAUCGGUGGCUCUAACAAUCGUCGAGACGAAGAGAAGACAAGAGAGAAUAGCGAGAGCAAAUCUCGACAUGAUUGAUAGAUUCUCGGAGCAGAAGAAGAAGAAGAAGAAUAUUUUUUUUUUCAGGAGUUUGAGAUGAUGAUUAGAGAGGACAAAGGAGACUAAAAACAAGCAAAGAGACAGAACAUACAUGCUUGAAUCGGGAUUCUCGUUUCACAAGGAAUGUCUGAUAGAUCUUGACCGUUCGUUUAGGUGGGUCCUUGAUUCUUGAAAAUUGACGGUUUGGAUUUUGUAGAAUGUGUGGUUAACCGCAGAGGAUUUUGGCAGUGAACAAACCGUUAGGUGGGAUUUUUGUGUAUAAUUUCAAUUUGUGGUCAUCACUUGGCAACAAAAAAUAGUUGGAAUUUGCCAGCUCAGAUUUGACGUUUUUUAAUAAUACAGCUCAGAAUUGACUACUACUAUUAUUUUGGAAACAAAUAGAAUAAUUUAUUAGUUCAAUGAAUCUUUCUCUUCCCAACAUGAAAUCUAUUUAUAAAUAAAACACUUCUUCCUAAAUACUCUCUCGUUAUAUAUAUUAAAAAAAACACAUUAAAUUAUGAUAAUAAAUAUAUAAUUUUCUGUAAUUUUCAAUAAUUUCUAACCAAUAGUAAUUCAAUAAAAUUAAUUAAUACUCUCUCAUUUCACAAAGAUAGAUUUUUUAAUAUGUUUACACAUAUUAAGAAAACACAUUAAAUUACGAUAAUAAAUAUAUAAUUUUCUGUAAUUUUCAAUUUUCAAUAAUUUCUAACCAAUAGUAAUUCAAUAAAAUUAAUUAAUUUUCUUAAAGUUUACAACUUUUUAAUAAAAAUAAAAAAAUACAUUUUUGUGAAACAAACUUUUUUUCUAAAACAUCCAUCUUAAUAAAAUGGAAGGAGUAUAAAUUAAUUUUAGAGAUUUUAUCACCUUUUUAGUACUCCCUCCGUUUCGUAUUAUUUGUCGUUUUAGAAUUAAAAUUUUGUUUCAUUUUAAGUGUCGUUUUAUGUUUUCAAUGCAAAAUUUAAUAACAAUAUUCUCCAUUUUAUUUUUUUAUUGGUUGAAAUAUGGUUAGAUAUAUAGGUAAUGAUGUUUUUAUUUUGGAAAUAUGCAAAAUUAAAAGUUUUCUUAAUCUGUGUGCAUAAACCUAAAACGACAAAUAAAUUAAAACGGAGGGAGUAUUAUUUAUCUAAAUCAUUAUUGCGAGAUGAUAUGACACCUAAUGGUGGUCAUUUUUGUUAAAAUAUGAUAAAUUAUUUUCCAUUUAUUAUAUUUAAAUUAAAAUUAAUGUCAAACUUAUAUAUUGUUUAAUGAGAAAUUUCCAAUGAUAACUGUUUUUAAUUUUUUGUCACAAAAAAUAAUUUUCAAUAAAAAAAUGACCAAAAUAAAUUUUAUUAAAAAGUAAAAAUGCAUUUAUACCAUAGCAUUAAAUAAUCUAUACUUAAGUUUAGAGUUAAGGGGUGGAUUUUGAAGAUAUAAUUUCAAAAUUUUAAAAUAAAAAGGGUUAUUUUGUUCAUUUUCUUUAUUAAAAGCUAUUUUGUGACAAAACUUUUUUUUUUUAAUUAUUUGAGAGAAUUGCCCUAUAUGUAUUCUAUUUUAUUUUUUAUUUUUCUAGAAUUUAUGAAAAAAAAUGGUAAAUAGAGAAUUGCCCUAUAUGUAUUCUAUUUUAUUUUUUAUUUUUCUAGAAUUUAUGAAAAAAAAUUGUUUCUCUGAAGAUUUUGUGAAGGAUAGAAUCGGCCAAAGUUCUUAUCUUAUUUAUCUAUUCAAUUUUUAGUAUCAUUUUUUUCUUCAUUUUGUUUUUUUUUUUUUUCUGUAAAAAUAUAGUUUAUUAUACAUUAAACAUUAUUUUUAGGCCCUCUUGGCUCAGGCCCAUAAGCUAAAAGGCUUAUUUGAUAAAUCACACUGACAACAAUUCGGAGCAAGAAGUUUCAAAGGAGCUUCUUUUUUUUUUUGGGUCCUUUUGACAGAUGGCUAGAUUCCUUCUCCUCUGUUUCCUCUUCGCGGCGGCGCUGACGUCAUCGUCGACGGAAGCCGGCGACGACAAUAGAGUCUACUCUCCUUGCUCAGAUUCAACAGUCGCGGUAGGCGACGGAUUCACUUUCGGCAUUGCCUUCGCGGCGAGAGCUUCUUUCUUUGGCACCAAUCGUUCCGUUCAGUACUCUCCCUGCGAUCGUCGCCGCCUCUCCCUCAACGGUAACUCUGAGCUCGCCGUGUUCAGACCUAAAGUCGAUGAGAUCACACUUCUCACCAUCAAUACCUCCUCGAGCUCCUCUAGUUUCAGCGCGGUUCGUUCUCAAUCUCUGAUCUAUCGUUGGGGGGGGGGGGGGGGGUUNNNNNNNNNNNNNNNNNNNNNNNNNNNNNNNNNNNNNNNNNNNNNGGGGGGGAGUUUCAGUUGGAUCUGAAUUUCUCAGACCAGAUUAGUUUAGUUUCUUGACUUGUCGGAAUCUCAGGCUUAGAAAGUUGGCGACUUUGCUCUGUUGACAAGUUUGGUAGUUGUCUUUGAUGCUAAGCUAAUUGUCAGACAUCUCUUGUAUCAAUGUCCUAAUGUGUAGAAAAGGUUUUGCAAGGUCUUGUUUUCAUUCUGCAUUUUUUUUGUUUCAGUUAGAUUAGAAGUUGAUAAUCAGCUGAUACCCCGGCUUCUAAAGAAUUAGGUGAUAAGCAGGUUAACUUAUGUUGUGUAUGUCAUUAGAGUACUAGUGUAGAUAUUACUGGCAUAAGUUGAUUUUUGUAAGCUUCAUUGCCAAACAUGAUAUGAGAUCACUAAAAUUAUUACUUUUGCUUAAAAGUUGAGGUAUGAUACUUUGUGAUUCCAGGAUUCAUCAAAGGGAUACAUGGUAGCAUUCGCUGGUUCAAAAUACGCUGCAAGAUCAGUUCCAAUUAUGGUUGCAGACAAUGAUCACGUCGUGACAAGCUUCACCCUAGUAAUUGAAUAAGCUCAUAUCAGUCUACAUUUUCAUCUUAUUGAAACUUCUACCUCUAUUAUCAUCACAUGUGUUAAUCUCUAUUUUGUGCUAUUUAUCUUCCAGGUUCUUGAGUUUCAGAAAGGCAGGCUUGAGAACUUGUUCUGGAAGAAAGACGGAUGCUCCAAAUGUUCUGGAAAUGCCAAGUUCGUGUGUCUCAACAAAGAAGAAUGCGCGAUUAAGAGACAAAGCUGCAAGAACCAAGGAGGGCAAGUAGAUUGCAGCUUGGGGAUCCAAUUAGCGUUCUCCGGCACGGAUAAGCACUACACCGCGUUGAACUCGUGGUACGAGGUUGCGAAUCUGAAGCAGUACUCGCUUUAUGGCCUAUACUCUAAUCUAAAGGGUUCACUAAGCAGCCAAUUCAAAAACUUCUUCUGAUGAGUUUCUUUCUCCUCAUGUGUGUUUACUUCUUUUGUAAGUUUGUAUUAUUACCCGGUCUCUUGGUUAUGCUAUAUUUUUACUGUAUUUUAUUACAUGGCUUGUAACUUUUUCAUGAAUGAAGAUUUACGCACAGCUUCUAAAAGAUAAUGAUUAAGAGAUCAUUUGGUUCAAAAUGCACAUAUACCUCAGCCAAACACAAGAAACCCAAAAUCACAUAAAGUGCACCAAAAUAAUAGCAACAUAGAUAGAUAUACAAAGGAAAUAUUCUACUGGUUUGAUUAAAAAGGUUUCAAAGAAAGAAUAGAUUUGCAAAUUACGAAACUCACUUCAACGCAAUAGAAGACGCCUUGCCUGAGGAGGAUUUGGUGGUGACCCUUGACCUGAAGUUGGCUGACCUCCACCACCACCGCCACCACCACCUCCGCUGUUCCAUGGUUUAACGACAGCAAGAACCACAACAACUAUGAUAAUGAUGAGAAUGAGAAUAGCGAUACAUGUCCAUUUACGGGUGUUCUUCUGGUAAACCCGAGCGGUUUGCAGCUGCUCAGUUCCACCUCGGAUAAAGGAGCUAGCUCGGCCCACGUGGCUCUCGAUGUCGUCGAUCUGAGCUCCCUGGUGCUCGACCAGCACCGCCAUGUCGAGAAACACUUGGUGAAGCUCCCUGAGAUUCUUCUCAAUGUCCUUAACCGCGUCAUGCCUUUCUUGGAUCUCGUUGAUGGUGUCUAAGACACGUCCUCUUCCUUGUUCUUGUAUUGCUUUCUGCAAGAAUCUCUCACUUUCUCCUGCAAUAAAACAGUUCCCAAUGUUACACACCACUCACCUAAGAGUAUGCCUAGUUUCUGAUCUCAAGCUUCUUUUCAAAUCCAGGUGUAAGCAUAGACAAGCAGAUUUUAACAUAACCAAACCGAAUUGGUUCAGAUUUGGUUUUAAGUUUGGUUCAAUACGACAGUUAAAAAAUCGGUUAUUGGUUGGAUUGGUAAUCAGUUAAUUCGGUUUUUAAAAAGACAAAAUAAAAGCCAAAUAAUAUGGAUUUUAACCAUCUUCAAAAUCGAACUAACCGAAAGAACCAAAAUUAGUCAAGUUUUUCAUCAAUUUAAACCGAAAAUCUAACGGGAACUUUACUUAAUUUUGGCAUAAUUUUCAUAAACCGAAUUAACUGAAUUUAUUUUUCGGUUCAAUUUGGUACAAUUUUCAGCGAAUUAAGCUUAUUUAAAAACCAAAUUAACCGAACCGAACCUGUAGGUCUAGCUAGGCAUCCAAACUCGGAGAGCACUGAACUACACAAUCUCAGGUGAAAACGAUUCAACUAACCUGUAGAAAUCAACCGAUCCAAAGUCCUCUCAUCCGGAUUCUCGCCGGUGACGGUGAAGUACCUCCUCUGCACAGUAUCUCUAUACUCAGACGAGAUCAGCUCCCUCAAGCGGUUGAAACUAUCCAUAGAGUCCUUCAGCUUCUUCCUCAAACCAUUAAGGACGGAAGUCCUUGUACGAUCCGACGAAGAUCCAGGUCCACAGCCAGGGAGGCUCCGAUUAGCCGCGUUGGAGCGAUCGAGCGCCUCGAGUUUCACCUUGAUCAUCUUCGCUUUCUUCAGAGCCACUCCGACGUCAGCGUCCAUCUUGGAGCGGAGAUCCUUGACGGCUUCGGCAUUGUGAAGCGUCUUGCUGUGCUCGUGAGAGGAUCGGAGCGUGUCGUUGAGCCGAUCUAGCUCCUUUAGCUCCUCUUUGACGGAUUCGACGUCUUCGAAGAACUUGUCGAGGUUAACUCCCGCCGGAUGCGUCAUCUGGAUUCCUCCUCCGCCGCCGCCGGCGUCUCCGCUGCUGCUGCGGAAGCGAGAGAAUGAGCUGGAAAACAGAUCGUUCAUCGAGAAUCAAAAAUCUAGAGAGUCUCAGAUCGGAUUCAAUCAACGGAUAGACUUAAUAAGGAAGGAAGAAAGUCGUACUGAUUCAAACCACACGGUUUGGUGAACGACGGAAGAAGGUAGAGAGAGAGAGAGAGAGGAAAAGUCCAAAAUUUAAUUAUUUUCUUAUAAUAUGUUUUUGCGGAAAUGUCAAAAGAGGAGGGAGAAAGUCAAGAAGGAGGACUUGGUGAUUGACUUGGAAGCUUCGUAGUGAUGGCGGAGAAGGAAAGGUGAUAGUGAAAGCGUGUAGCGUGCAAAUAUGGUAAGCAUAUAAAACCGGAGCGAAAAGAUUAAUUGUCAUUGUUGGGCCAGAAGUGAGGCCCAAAUAAUCAGGAAUUCAAAUAGGCCUAGGUUCAUUUAUGUCCUUCAGCGCUUAGAAAUUUAAAAUAUUUAUUUUAUAUAUUAUUAGUUAGAAUCUUCAAAUAUUUGUCCGAGUUUGGUUUUACAUCCUUUCGACGGCAAAGAUACCACCCCACUGGAGACGAUUCAACUGGCUAAAUCUGAGGCGGAAAGCUCACUCAAGUAAUAGAAAAACCACAAGAUGAAGACGCUGAAAACGAGCACCGCGCAACCCCUCUCCCAAGAACCUGCCCGAUAUGCUUGACGGACGCCUCCUGGCACAAAGACGACACUUUGUUCGGUGGAGGUAUGGUCUUGAUGACCGAGGAUGGGACAACGACUUAUGGUUCAUUCGCUAGUAACCAAUUCGAUUCCUUCUGAAUUAAUUAUAUAUGGUGUUUGCCGUCAAAAAAAAUUGAUGGAUCCCUAAAUAAAAUGAGGUAUAAACUUUGUGUGUAUAGUGAUACGCCCUAAAUAUGGAAAGGAUCACUCAGCCGGACUAAGGGAAUAUGAACUCGCCAAAAGGGAGAACUGGUGGAUUCAAUGGUGACACAAAAGGGGCGGAAAGUCUCUUGAUACUAUCAGACUUCAGUUGUUGCUUGAUAUGAUGCACAAGUCCAACAAAAGAAGAGUUUCUAAACGUUGAUUGAUAUGACGCACAAGUCCAAUGAAAUAAAGAAUGUUUACUUGGAAGAAACUCAACAAGAAACAAGAAGUGUUCUACAAAGAACAAAGAGAUAAACUCAUAAAAAAAAAAAAUCAUUGUCUUAUUUCGUGGCUCUUAGCCUUAUUUAUAGGAUUACAAAUUGCAGACAUCCAAAGAAAAAUGUGUUAAAAAUAAAGACAUUGAAUAUAGAAACAAAGACUUGACUAAAUAAAGUCUUUGACUGAAACUUGGGCUGUCUCUUGAUAUAACCACGACCUUGACUUGGUUCAGUGAAGAAUAUACUCCUGUAAUGGGCCAAGACAUGUCUCUUUAAUGCCUGGUCGAAAUCUUUCUCUUUUCCUUUGCCAAUUUUUAUCGGUUUCUCCAUUUGACCCAAACAAGUCCGUUUUUGAAUCUUUUAAAAAACCAUCAAACCCAAGGCUUUCUUGGACAUUUAGAACAUGAAUAAUCACCUUUGGCAUGAUUGAAUUGGUCGUUGAUUCAUCAGAAAGAAGGUUAGCCUUUUCCAGCUUCUCGGAUGGUCUGAAUUCGCGAGAACUAAAGAUCACAUGAUUUGUAAAUGGCAUAACUGUCACAUAUGAACUCCGUUUGAUCUGAUUCUUCUUUGAGGAGCUCCGUAAUUGAGUUGAGAACAUUCUACAAGUGAUUUCAUGCGUAUAAGCCUUGUGAUUUGGAAGAUAUGAGUCAAACAAUGAACAUAUAUCUUUACAACAUCCAAAGAUCAAGCCAUGCAUGUCUGUUUUUUCCGGUGCGCUACCCAAGGGCGCAUCAUAUAGGGUACUAUAUGAAAGUUUCGAUGGAAAAAUAGAUGUGUUCUUCUUUCAAACUCUUUAAACCAAUUCAUAAUACUCUUCUCGCUGCGGUAUGUCACUAUUCUUAACUUCUUGUUUGGACUAAUCGGUAGAUCAAACUAAAAAAGGUUUUUAUUUGACAAUAGUAGCUUAUUUGUUUAGCUAACCACCAAUUCAGCCACUGUAAUAUAGGCUUGGGCGUUUUACCCGGAUCCAAAGACUGGAACCGACCCGAAAAUACAAGUUCGGAUCUGGGUCCAGGUCCAUGCUGAAGUAUCUGUUGGAUCUCUUUUUUUUUUGGAUUCACGGGUCUCGGUUCGGGUCUGUGUUCUACCCAAGACCCGAUCGGGUAUCUGAAGUACCCGAAAUUUAUUGUAUAUAUUAGGUAUAUUUGGGUAUUUGGGUAUAUUUUUGAUAUUUCAGAUAUUUUUUUAAGUUUUGGAUCUGGAUUUUCGGGUAUAAUUUCAGAUUGCAGGUAAAAUUUUAGAUUUUCAAAAAAUAUAAUUCGAGUAUUCGGGUAAAAUUUUGGGUCUGUUUUGAAUUUUCUGGUCUGAUUUUAGGUAGAUCUUCGGCAUUUUUACGAUUCUUUGGGUAUUUAUGGAAUUUUUGGGUAUUUUUUUAGUUUUUGGAUUCAAUUUAGGUAUUUCGGGCCUUAAAUAUCCGAACCGACCCAAACCAAGAAUAUACCCCAAAAUUAAAAGUAUUUUAUGGAUAUUGAAAUUAUAGAUCCGAACCGACCCGGACCCGGUAAAAUCCGACCCAAAACCGACCUGAAAAUUAUAUGUACCUCUACGAAUUCAAAUUUUCAAGAUCCAAAAGACAAGGAUCCGACAAGACCCGAUUCGAUGACCCGGAUGUUCGGCCUACUAUGAUCUACAACUCAUUAGUUAUUGUUUGAAAGUACUUUUUAUAUUUGUUUGUUAGUUGAAAUUGUCAUUAUCUUUUUAGUACUUUAUCAACUUAAAAUAAAACCCACAAAGAACCCUAAUACAACGACGACUAUCGUAAGAUGUUUUAAAAGUAUACUAGAUUUUGACCCGCACUUUAAAAGCGCGAGAUUUGUUAUUAUGUAAAAUUUAAAAGUUAUAAAUAUUUUUUACGGCCAAAUAAAUUUACAGAUGUUUUAUUAAUUAUGGUCUAAAACAAACAAAUAAUAGUUUGUUAAAAUAACUGAAAUGAGCUAAUUAUAUGAGUUGUCGAUUUUAUAAUAAUUCUUAACGAUAUGUGUUAUUAAUUAUGAAUUAUCCCUCAGAUACCUAUAUUGAACAUAAAAGUAUUAAUAUUCCACGUUAGUUAAUAUAUAUCUAUAUUAUACUUCUAAAUUCUAAUAAUAUUUCAUUUUAUAGUACCUAAUUUAAAAUUGUAGUUACAUGUCAAAUUUUAAAAUGCAGAACAAUUUGAGUUUAGGUUGAUUUGGUGAUGUCUACAUUUUUACGCAAGUUUCAGAAUUGUAGGCGAUGACCAUAAAUUCAAUAUAUUGAGAAUAUUCUUGAGCACAAAAUAAGGAAGUAAAAUUUUUCUUGUUAAAUAAGUUUAAGUCUUUCUAAAAAUAUGGUACAUCUUAUACAAUAAAGUAGACAAUAGUCUCUCCUUAGAGUGCCACAUCAUAAGGUUGAAGGGUGCAAAUUAGGACAGGUGUUUUCUCCAAUUUCUUCAUCUCACCAAAAUUUUCGUACCAAAUCUAUGGGACAGUUACUGGGUCUAAUGUUUGAAUGUUUUGUAUAGUUAGGCCCAUAUGUAUUUAGGGUUACAUUAUUAUCCUGCUUAAGUUUACAAAGCAUCGACGUUUUCACCAUACAGCUAGAAUUCCGAUCGACACUAUGUAACAUCUGCCAUUUACAUUUUUUUGGUGUUUAAAUCCUAGCAUUUAUGUCACUUAUACCACCCUCCCACUCUCUGGCUUUUAAUGGAGCUUAUCAUAUUCUAAGAUAACCGCUGGAAGCUCCAUCUAUAAAUGUGUUUGCUCCCGACGAUGAACAGCAUUAAAUCUGCAAAAACUAAAAGCACGAUCCCUGCAAAGCAUCAACUCAACAAUGGAGAAAUCCUCCAUCAUGCUCGCCGAUUUGAAAGCUUACCGGUUCUGGCGGUGGUGAGAUUCAACACCGGCACAUUCCUCACACCACCGCGACAAGAGCAAUUCAUAAGCUGCAUCUGGUAUUUGGUUGUACUUGUUUCCUUCAUCAUUUGUCGGUUAAGUGAAUUAUAGCUUGAGGAGUAGCAAAGAUGUUGCAAGUCUAAAAAGUGAAAUACAUUCUGCUAGAAUGUUUGUAAUAGAAUCAAUAAUUUUGACUCUUCAGGAUGUUUUUUUGUUUGUUUGUUUCUUAAACAGGGAACUGCAGCGGAGGAUCGUUCCAAACAGAAGCUGAUCUCACAUAACGAUUCAUCAGGUUUUGUUUGUUUGGUCUCUUUUUAGAUUGUUUAGUCGAGGAUAGGUUUGCUAACGUGAUUUUAUUGCAUCUAUCAUCCUAUUUUCUCUUAUAGAUACAAUGUUUUUGUGUGUGUCUUCUUUCAGGUUGCAGAGUUUUAGGUCCCCAUCAGUGUUAAAACAACACAACAAAACAAGUUUAGCAAGUUCUAUGUUAGGUGACCGACUCCACCGUCACCAUCCUGUUUCAAUGAGAUGACUAACUUUGUUUGAAAUAACUGUUCUUAGUGUUCAUUUUCUUCUUCUUAUUUUGAUUUAAGGGAACUUCAGUAAUCAUGAGGAAGAUGAUAGAGACGGCUUUUCCUUUAUUCUUUUUAGACUGAGAAUGCAUAGAAGAAGAAAAUGCAACCAUUGGCACAAAAGAAACUGGACUUUGAAAAGUUAUGUGCGGCUGGGGUCAGCGUUUACCAACUGGAGGCUCUUGAAGAAUGGGAACAGAUUGCAACUUCAGCAUUUGAGAACUUCGAGCAAGAAGGGCAUAGAAUCAUAUCCGUCCAAGAACUAGCCGGGGUAUGGUCCUAUAUUCAACCUUGUAUGUGAUUGAGUAAGCAUCAUCUAUUUUGUAAGAUCUAAAACAUAUUUAAUGAUUGGGGCGUGGUAUAAAGCAGGAGAUGACUCUGGCACCAAAUGCAUAUCCUCUGCUCAAGGAUUGGAUCUGGAGUUUGGAUGGAAAGCUUAGUUUCUUGGGCUACGCUAAGUUCUUGCAUGGUGUGAUCGUACGAAGCUCGAGCUCAAGACCUAGGUGACACAUCGGCAUGGGAAAAUUCUUCUACGUGUGAGUCAAUUCUUGAUAAGUAUCGAAAACGACUUAGUCGUCAUCAAGAUAUUGGGUUUAAAUGUACAACAUAUACUGGAAGAAAAAAAAAUAUAUAUAAUGGAAAUGGAAGCUAGGUGCGUCAUUUGUAAAUAAUUCUUUGAGCAUUUUGUCUUCAGAAGAACCAAACCCCUAAAAGAAAAAGAAACAAACAGGAAAAAUAUAUCAUACAUGAGAUGACUAACUUUGUUUGAAAUAACUGUUAGAUUUAUUAUUAUAAAUAUGCAAAAACUCUUUCAGUCUCCACUACUGCACUGUAACAAAAAAACGAUUCAAGGAAACAAUAGUGGCUCAUAUAUAAUUGUGGCUUAAAGCAAAAUAAAAAACUGUGGUCUUAAAUAUUUUGAUAAAAAUUUAGAAUUCCAUGUAAUUAUAGUUCUACUAUUAUUAUAUUUUACUUUAGAAAAACUCAAAAUAUUUUUAAAUUUUUGCUUUCUUUUUUGGUCAUUUUUUUGAAAUAUGUUUAGAACUAUUUAUGUCAUAUUUUUUGUGGUUAACCAAAUAAAUAAAAUAGUAAAAUGUCACUAUCAAUAGUAUGUAAUAAACAAUUAUAAUAAAUUAAAAGAUAAAAACCAAUUAAAAAAAGAUAAAUUGUUGAUCUAAGUUUUUUUUUAAAAGUGAGACACUCAAGGUUUCCAUAAUACUACCCUAGAAUAACUUUGAAACUGUAGAUAAUUAAAUAAGCCCAAUGCUUUAGAUGCUUUGAAGAAGGACCGAGUAUAUAGGGAAAAAAAAUUGUGGUCUUAAUUAUUUUGAUAAAAAUUUAGAAUUCCAUGUAAUUAGAGGUGAGCGUUCGAGUACCCAUUCAGAUUCGGUUCGGAUCUAUUCGGGUUUCGGGUGUUCGGGUUCAAAGAUUUCAACCCCAUUCAGAUAUUUCUAAAUUUCGGUUCGAGUUCGUUUCGGAUCUUCGCGGGUUCGGUUCAGGUUCGGAUAAUCCAUUUAAAUUAUUUUAUAAAAUUUUAAAUUUAUUAUAUACUUAAAAUUUCUUAAAAUCUAUAAACAAAAUUAUAUAUUACAUAUAAAUUUGAAUAUAUGUCAAAAUACAUAAAAUUAACAUAUAAAUUGGUUUGAUUUGAAUAUUUGGAUAGUCUUUCAAGUAUUUGUAGUGUUUUGAAUAUAUUUUAGCUAUUUUACACAUUUAAUUUUGAUUAUUUGUGUAUAUUUUCAAGUAUUUAGGAAAACUUAAAAGUAUUUUAAAUAUUUUGGAUGUCUUUAAUACAUAUUAAAUCUAAAGAUAAGUAACAUAUUUAGGUAUUUAAAUCUAUUUCGGAUACAUUCGGGUACCCAAAAUACUUUGGACCGGAUUGGGUUCGGUUUCGGUUCUUUAAAUAUCAAAAUUUUGAAUCCGUUCGGAUAUUUAAUCAAUUUCGGUUCAAGUUCGAUAUUACUUUUUUGGAUCGGGUUCGGUUCAAUUUUCCGGAUCCAGGUUUUUUGUCCAGUUCUACAUGUAAUUAUAGUUCUACUAUUGUUAUAUUUUGUUUAGAAAAACUCAAAAUAAACUUUUAAAAUUUUGCUUUCUUUUUUUGGUCAAAUUUUUCAAAUAUGCUUAGAACUAUUUAUGUCAUGCUUUUUUUUGUGGUUAACAAAAUAAAAUAAAAUUGUAAAAUGUCACUAUCAAUAGUAUGUAAUAAACAAUUAGAUCAAAUUAAAAAGAUAAAAACCAAUUAAAGAAAAGAUUAAUUGUUGAUCUAAGUUUUUUUUUUUUUAAAGUGAGACACUCAAGAUUUCUAUAAUACUACACUAGAAUAACUUUGGAACUGUAGAUAAUUAAAUAAGCCCAAUGCUUUAGAUGCCUUGAAGAAAGACCGAGCAUGUAUGGAACCCUCACCUGUCUUGUCAAAUCCACUCCGUCUGUAAAAAAAAAAACCAACAACAACCUAUUGGUGGACUAUCUAUUAGCAUCAGUAUCUAUUUGCAUGGACACGGAAACUACAUGAAAUCAAUGUCGAAAGACAUCAAUAAAGUCAAUGCACUGAGCGUAUGUGAAAAUCCUCCAUUGUUGCUUAACAACACUCGCAAGGACAUAUGCCACUGUAACGUAUCUCCCCCAACAAAAUAAAAGAAAAAUGCGACAAUCUUACUAUUACAAACAAAUAAAAUAGAUUAUAUAUUUCAUAUAAAACCUACUCUACAAAAUUUUACAUUUUAUGCUUCAACUAUUAGUCAUUCAAUUUGUGUAUUCAAAAAUUAUAAACAUUAUUUCACUGCUUUGAAAUAAAUUUAUACACCUCGCGUAUGUCAAUAAAAUAGCAAUCCCUCAUAUACAGAACAUACAUCCAAUUGAUAAAUGUAAAGCUGAUCUUCAACAUCGUUGAGACUUCCAUAAUAACGGCUCCACAACUCAAACAAAUAGCUACAACAUCAAUUUAUUUGUUCAAAAAAAUUCUUUACUGAUAUUUUACGCUAAGAAAAACAUCAGGCAAUUUCUAUUCAGGGACGGUCUAUAUUUUUUUCAACAGAGAUCACUAAGAUAUUUUGCUUAUAAUUUAGUAGGCUGAAAAAGAUUUCUUACCAUUAUUAUAUAUAUUUUGUCAUCCUUAGCAUUGUAAUAUAGAACCACUAAAUAUUCAAUCGAUAUACAAUUUUAAUGAAAUAUUAACAGCGUCAUAACUCUUAACAAGUGAUGGACAACAUAGAGAAAGAGAGUGUCACUUAAUACUUCUUAAAUCUGUACAAAUAUUUUUUUGUUCAUAGAAAGUAGAAAUUUCGAAAAAUCACUACCUUUAUUGGUAAAGUUUCCAUUUAACAUAAGAUUUGAUCACUCAUGUGUCUGCGACUUGUCUUAAGUGAGUCUGAACAUUGCUUCAACACUACUACUACUAAAAAGAAUAAAUGACCACAAUUUGAAUUCGACCACCAAUUUAGGAUCCGAAUGUUUACAACCACCCGUUCCGCACCGCAGUUAACAAUAACAAAAAAUCUCUACAUAUAUCAUAUAUCUAUACGUUUUUAUAACUGUUAGAACCGCACCGCAGUUGAACCGCUUGUCCCGCACCGCUGAAACCGCAGUUACUAUUCGGAGCCUUAAUUAUCUAAUACCAAACGUCCAUCCGUAGAUUCACAAAAUUAACACUUAUAUUUUUUUCUUACAAAUAUCAACCAUUAUACUACACAAUUAACAAAUAUCCCGCGCGUAGCACAGGCAAGCCACUAGUAAUAUAUAAUUUUGGAUUAUUAAAUAUUGCUUAAAUGUUAUUGGAUAACAAAAUACAUGACUUUUGAUUGGAUGGAAAUACGGCCGGCAAAUUAAUUUUUAAAAAAAUCUAAAAAAGUAAUAAAUUGCCAUUGUAAAUAAUUCUAAAACUAAGGGCAGAAGAAUCCUAGGAGGGAUUUUGCUUUAAUAGUAGGGGAAAUUACAUGUUUACCAAUUUCAUGCUACAACUUUUCAGUUUUACAAUCACUAAAGGGACAAUUAUGACCUUGUUCUUUAUAUAUACUAGGAAACAAAUCCGCGCAUUCGCGCGGACAGUCAAAAUCCUUUACUAAAAACUAAAUUAUUUAAUAUUCAUAAAUUGUAUAUAUUUAAUAAUUAUAUAUAUAAUACUUUUUUAUUUUUUCAUUUAAAUACUGAAUAUAUUAGCUUAAAAUAAAAAAUUCAACAACAUAAGGAAAAGGAUGUAAAAUGUAUAUAACAAAUUAAAUAUAAAUUGACUUUUGAAUUUAUAGAACAAUAGAUAUACAUUUUUAUUAGUAAUAUCGGUUGAGACAAUGGUAAAGACUGGCUAGACAAGAAGUUCAUCUUCAGUAUUAGGAAUAUCAACCUUUUGUUUAAUCUUUGCGGAUUCUUUAAUCUACGGGACAGCUGUCUCAACACAAAUUUUUUUUUUGAUUCUGUAAUGUAGAAAUUAAAAUUAAUUCCUCUCUUGCGUGUUUACUAUUUCACUGCCAAGGCAUUUAUCGGAGUCAAUCGUAUUCUAUAAAUAUGAUAUUUAUCUAGUAUGAUCAACUGGAUGAAGCAGAGGACAUAUAGUCAUGGACUAAAGCAAGCUAUGAAAAGUAACUGCUUACAGACUACCAAGAUAUAUGAUAUAUGAGAUCGAUGAUAUCGAUGAAGUUUUUUUUUUUUUUUCAAACUUACAACUUUAUUAUAUCGAUGAAGUUUAUUUUCAAAUCUUUCUUUUAAAAGUUUGGGAGCCCUUCAUCUCAACAAGUAUUUUAUAGAGGACUCAGUUUCAGGUCUUGACAUUGGCAUAACAAAAAGGCAUCCUUGUCGCAGCAAAGCCCAUAUACAGUGAUAAAAUAGUAGAUUCACUUUGUAUUUUUCUUACCUAUAAUCGGUAUUUUUAGCAUGUGCAAUCAUCUAAUAAAUGCUACUUGGGUGUCAUCCUUGUCUUGUUGUGCAGUUUCCUAAUGUUCCUCGCCAAGGAUUUGAUUCAGAGUAUAAUUCUUACCAAUAAAUGUAAAUCUCUUAAUUUAGACUUUGAUCUCUAGGCAUUUUCUUGAAUUAGAUGGGGUAUGCCCUUUUUUUUUCUUGACCAAACCAUAUUUUCAUUACUACUUUAAAUCCAAGGUUUAAGGAGCAUACAAAGCUGAUUUAGCAAAAGAAUCAACUUCAAAAAAUCUUUUCACAAAAAUAAACCACUUAAAUAAUACACCAGUUGAAAUACAUAUAAUGUUUUUAAUGUACAUAAAAAUAAAGUAAUAGUUUUAAAUUAAAGAAUUUGAAAAUGUGUCAAAAGGACAAAGGAAAUAUCAUAUGUUGUUUUGGUAACUUAAAACAAAAAGUUCUUUGUGAUUAUACUAACAAUUAAUUAAAUCUAACGCAUGUAACAAAAAUGAGGAUAGUUUAACAUCUCAAUUUAAAAAUACCAUAAAUGAAACAAUUGUUUUAACUUUUGUCAAAUAUUAGGUUACACAAAUCUCUUUUUAUGAUAAGUAAAGUUUAUGUUUUAUCAAAACUAAGAUACAUAAAUAUAAAAAGAAAUUCUAAUGUUUGUAUGUGAUUCUUCAAAAGUCUUCUAUGAUCAUUUAGAUCUUAAAGUAGUUACAAUGGUUAUUUUUAAAAAAUUGUAAUGAUUUUUAUAAAUAGUUAUAAAUCUUCAUCUAAGCAAUUGCAAUGAUUCAUUUAGAUGAUUUUAUCCAUUAAAUCUGCAACAGAACAUUCUAUGUUCUCAGCCUUUUGUUUUGCUUAAAUAUGAUGAUUUUAUUCAAGACCGUUGGAAUUUGAAUAAUAUGGUACUGAAUAAUGUUUAUAUAUCUUUACUUAUCACAUAAUUUGUAUACUAUGGUACUGUAUAUUAGCGACAAUUGUUUGAAAGUAAGAUUCAUAUUUUUCAAUAGCUUUAAUUAAACUAUCUUGAAAAUUUUAUUAUUUUCAAAAUUUUAAGAUAUCUUGUUUGAAAGUAAGAUUCAUAUUUUUCAAUAGCUUUAAACUAUCUUGAAAAUUUUAUUAUUUUCAAAAUUUUAAGAUAUAAUGAAAUUUUUUAUCAAAAUUUUGAUUUGAGAGCGUUUUGAAAAUUGAAGUUAGGAGAAAAUGUUGUACAAAUUGUAAUAUAUAGAGUUGAAAAAUAUUAGUUUAUAAACUCUUCAAGAAAAAAGCAGUUAUAAAAGAAAGAAAAAUAUAAUUUAUAGCCAAAAAAAACAUUAUCUUCAAUAAAAUUAGUGAAGUAAGUUUUAACUUUUUUAAUUUUUGAAAGUAAGUUUUGAUAAAGAGUCACAUUUGUAAAAACCAUUUGCUGGGAUUCUUUGAUUGUGUUUUUUUUUAACACUUAGAAAAACUGAGAAACAGACAACAAGAUACCAGCAGGUACCGUAGAGAUCUAAAGAGAAACAUGAAAGAACUAAGCCAAAAGAAACAAGAUGGCAAUUAAAGGUGCCACUGGCACAUAUCCCCUGAGCCAGCCAAUGGAAUAGAAAAUUAGACACCUGCCUCCUGUUGGAUAGCUUGAUGAAGCCAGCAAGGUCCACCAGCGGGUGACAUAAGAUUGCGUACAGAAGUAUGAGACCACACUAUCUGCAAUCGCUGUUGCUACAUUAUUUUUAUGGUCAAGCACGUGGAAUCAGACCAUUCAUCAAAACGGUGUGUCGGUGCAGCAACUCAAGGAUUUUUGUAGAAAGUGAUAAGAGUUCAGGAUAGCUGUAUGGAUCCAGAAGUGACUGUCUCACCUCCGCAGAAGAAACUUCAAACAGAAUUUUUCGUUGCUUCAGAUAAUCAGGUUGCCCAUCUCUUCCACAGCCCACAACAUAGCCUUUAAGUUUGACUCCUGUUUAGAUAGGGGAGAACAGAAAGCACGGCGGCUAUGGUCAAGCGGACGGCACUGACUAUCUCUUGUAACCCAGCUAGCACCCCUCAGAGGUCCAGAGCUAUCCCAAGCCAUGCCAACAUUGCAUUUGAUAAAACAAGGGGAGACUUUUCCCAAGAGUUGUGUGAAGACGGCUUGUUUCCAAAGCCGCAGCCUGAUUAUUCUCAUUGUAGUUAACCAUAUACCAAAUAUCUCCCUCUUCCAGCGACUUAGAGAUGCAUGAAGCAGAGGAGAUUCGGCUUUUCUCAAACACCAAAGCAUUUCUCCCUUUCCAAAGGUUCCAGAGUAUCCAAGGGAAGGACUUAAUAUUACCAUAAUCUGUCCUCUGUUUUUUUUUUGUGCUUGCUACCAGAUAGGAAGGUUCAGAAAGAUAGAUGACUGCGAAAAACCAGAGGGAGGAGGCUCUAUUUGUUCCAGACGCCGGGCUUCCACUGCUGUAGGACAGUGAACAGGACAUGAAAAAUCGUUUCCAAGGCUUGACAACACGCAUGACAAAUUGUGUUUGACCAUUCAUAAUUCAAAAGCACAUAAUAUUCACUAAUACACAGGUACAAUAUAAAAAGUAGAGUUAUUAUAUUUAUAUUUGUAGUUUACUAAUUUAUAACAGUAUAAAUGUUUUUCCUAGAAACUUACUGAUGAAGUCUCCCACUUCUUUUUCAAGUCCUCACCACUUAAACGCACGCACAGGCACAGAUGAAUGGUGCACUUGAGGAUGCUGUUGAGUCUGUGAUAGUCUAUAGUAAUUGUUCUGGUCCUCCUAACAAUCCCUCAUUUACAAAUUCUUAGCGAUCUAGACCACCUUUUGAAACCUUAAUUAAAAAUGAUGUAUGCAGAAUGUAACAGACAUCAUACAUAUGACGUUACGUAAUCCCAUCUUAACAAGCCUGAAUAUAAAAAUUUUAUAUAAAAGGUAUUAAUUUCCUAAACCAUUAGAUGAUCAGCGCACUGUCUGUACGGUGAUGCUGGAUCUGCUUUACAAUCAAAAAAAUCUGAAUCGCACUGCAGUGUAUAAAUAUUCAAUAGACAUCAUGAUUGAGUUCUUCUGAAUCGUGGAUCCUACACAGAUUAAUCAAACAAUGAAUGGGAAGCGUCUGAAAUCAUCAGAAAAGGAAAAAAGGAGAAAGGAAAAAUGAACUAAAGCGGAAAAAAUUACACUGGAUUUGGAUGCGGAGGAGAGAGAGAGAUAAGAAGCAUAGAAAACUUGAAACAAAUCUGCAACUCGAUACAAUCUCUUCAAUAUAUAAACUUCUGAACAGUUACAAGAAAAUGAUGACGGUUCCACAGAAGAUCUAGAAGAUCUGAGUGUGAAAAGAUACAACCUUUAAGGAAAAAACAGAUGAUCUGUUUAAGAGACGCCUGUGAGGAGGUAUGAUGAAGCCGUCGAUUGCUAUAGUAAAUCUAGUACGUCAUUCUUUUGUUUCUAAACAAAACCUUAACCAUUAAAUUAUAUCACAGACACGAUUCUCACCAUUAGAUUUUGAUUUUUUUUCCUAUAAUAAAUUGAUGAUGUCAUCAGUUAGAUAAAAAAGAUUUGCUAUUAUAUAUAGAUAAUAAAUAUAUACUAUUUCUAAAUUCAAACCCUAAACCCUAAAACUCAAUUCUAAACCCUAAAUCAUCAAUCAUAAACCAUAUUUUAUUUUGAAAUAUGAACCCUAAACCCUAAACCAUCAACACUAAACCAUAAAUUUUCAACACUAAAACCUAAACCCUAAAAAGUAAACUCUAAACCCUAAAAAGAAAACUCUAAACCCUAAACCCUAAAAUUCAACCCUAAACCCUAAACCAUCAACACUAAACCAUAAAUUUUCAACACUAAAACCUAAACCCUAAAAAGUAAACUCUAAACCCUAAAAAGAAAACUCUAAACCCUAAACCCUAAAAAAUUGCCCCUAAACCCUAAAACAUCUAACUCUAAACCCUAAACCUUCAACUUAAAACCUAAACCCUAAAUCCUAAACCCUAAACCCUAAACCCUAAACCCUAAAACCGUAGAGUUGAUGUUUUAGGGUUUAGAUUUGAAGGUUUAGGGGUUUAGGGUUUACAGUUUACAUUUAGGGUUUAGAGUUGAUUUUUAAGGUUUAGAUUUGAAGGUUUAGGGCUUAGGGUUCAAAUUUCAGUUUAGAUUUGAAGGUUUAGGGUUUAAAGUUAAUGUUUCGGGGUUUAGGGUUUAGAGUUGAUGUUUCAUGGUUUAGAGUUUAGAGUUGAUGAUUUAGGGUUUAAAGUUGAUGUUUUAAGUUUAGAUUUAGGGUCUAGGGUUUACGUUUAGGGUUUAGGGUUUAGGGUUUAGGGUUGAUGUUUUAAGUUAAAUUAGUUAACAAUAUGUUUUCUUUUUGUCAAAGUUAAUCAAAAAGUUAUAAAUGUCUUUUACCCUUCAUUGAAGAUGAAAAGUGUUACUUUGAAAAUAGUAUUUUUGCAAUUUCCCUAAAUAUAUAUUAGGAAAAAUUACAUGUUUACCACUUUCAUGCUACUAUUUUUCAUUUUUACCACCACUAAAGAGACAUUUUCAAAAAUAUGCCAUUAUACUUUAUAUAUAUAAUAAAUAAAAAUUUAAAUAAAUAAAAAUCAAAAAAAUAAAAAAUAAUUUUUAAAUUUUUUUUCGAAUUAUACUAUUUCGAAAUUCAAACCCUGAACCCUACAACUCAACUCUAAACCCUAAACCACCUAUCAUAAACUCUAUUUUUUUGAAAUACAAACCCUAAACCAACUCUAAACCCUAAACCCUAAACCUUCAACUCUAAACCCUAAAACAUCAACUAUAAACCCUAACCUUCAACUCUAAACCUUAAACCAUCAACACUCUAAAAUAUCAACACUAAACCCUAAACCUUAAAAAGUAAACUCUAAACCCUAAACUCUAAAAAAUUAACCCUAAACCCCGAAACAUCAACUCUAAACCCUAAACCCUAAAAUGUAAACUCUAAACCCUAAACCCUUAAAAAUUAACCCUAAACCCUGAAACAUCAACUCUAAACCAUAAACCUUCAACUAUAAACCUUAAAACAUCAACUAUAAACCCUAAACCCUAAACUUCAACUCUAAACCCUAAACUAUCAACUCUAAACCCUAAACCCUAAAAAGUAAACUUUAAACCCUAAAAAAUUAACCCUAAACCCUGAAACAUCAACUCUAAACCCUAAACCUUCAACUCUAAACCAUAAACCUUAAAUCCUAAACCCUAAAACCCUAGAGGUGAUGUUUUAGGGUUUAGAGUUGAAGGUUUAGGGUUUCAGGGUUUAGGGUUUACAUUUAGGGAUUAGAGUUGAUGUUUUAGGGUUUAGAUUUGAAGGUUUAGGGUUUAAGGGUUUAGGGUUUGAAUUUCAGAAAAAUAUCGGGUUUAAGGUUAAGGGUUUAUGUUUAAGGUUUAUGUUUAGGGCUUAGAGUUGAUGUUUUAGGGUUUAGAUUUGAUGGUUUAGAGUUUAGGGUUUAGAGUUGAUGUUUUGGGGUUUAGGGUUUAGAGUUGAUGUUUCAUGAUUUAGGGUGUAGAGUUGAUAAUUUUGGUUUUAAAGUUGAUGUUUUAAGUUUAGGGUUUACGGGUUUAGAGUUGAUGUUUUAGGGUUUAGAUUUGAAGAUUUAGGGUUUAGAGUUUAGAAUUGAUGUUUCGGAGUUUAGGGUUUAGAGUUGAUAUUUCAUGGCUUAGGAUUUAGAGAUUAGAGUUGAUGUUUCAUGGUUUAGAUUAGUUAACCAUAUGUUUUUUUUGUCAAAGUUAAUCAAAAAGGUUAUAAUUGUCUUUUAUCCUUCAUUAAAAUUGAAGGUAAAAAUGAUUAGUGUAAACAUGAAAAGUGGUACUUUGAAAAUGAUAUUUUUGGCAAUUUCCCUAUAUAUUAAGACAAAUAAUUUAACUACAAUUUGGUCGAUAGUGAAAGAAGCAUUAAAAAAAAGAAUAUUUUAACUUCCAAAAAAUUAGAUAUUUCAGUUGUGGUAAAUACUCAAUUAUAAGGUGCUCACGUCAAUUUGCAUCUGUAUGUGUAUGUAAAACUAUAUAAAGAUGGUUGAUAAAUAUAUGAGAAAAUUACAUGUUUACCACUUUCAUGCUACUACUUUUCAUUUUUACCAUUAAAUGAACAUUUUCAAAAAUAUCUUCUUCAUUAAGUGGCAAAAGACUUUUAUGUCUCUUGUUCUUUAUAUAUAUAAUAAAUAAAUAUUCAAAUAAAUAAAAAUAUAAAAAAAUAAAAAAUAUUUUUUUAAAAUUUUUUUUAGAAUUAUACUAUUUCGAAAUUCAAACCUUAAACCCUAAACCAUCAAUCAUAAACUUUUUUUUUUUGAAAUAUGAACCCUAAACCCUNNNNNNNNNNNNNNNNNNNNNNNNNNNNNNNNNNNNNNNNNNNNNNNNNNNNNNNNNNNNNNNNNNNNNNNNNNNNNNNNNNNNNNNNNNNNNNNNNNNNNNNNNNNNNNNNNNNNNNNNNNNNNNNNNNNNNNNNNNNNNNNNNNNNNNNNNNNNNNNNNNNNNNNNNNNNNNNNNNNNNNNNNNNNNNNNNNNNNNNNNNNNNNNNNNNNNNNNNNNNNNNNNNNNNNNNNNNNNNNNNNNNNNNNNNNNNNNNNNNNNNNNNNNNNNNNNNNNNNNNNNNNNNNNNNNNNNNNNNNNNNNNNNNNNNNNNNNNCAACCAUAAUACAUAAUAACUCAAACUUAAAAUAAAAACAAAAAAAAACUAAAUUUAAUGCAUGAUUGAUGAUAUGUUUGAGUUAUCCAUGAGUUAGAAGCUUAACUCAAACUAAAUCAAUGUUACCACAUGUUAUAGAAUACACCGAAUGAAUAUAUUAUUAAGUAUGUGAAAUUUAUUUAUACAUCAGUACAUGUAGGGUUAUUAACAAUACUAAGUAAUUGCAAAGAGAUCCUUUGAGUAUAUAUUAUUUACUUAACAUGCCCCCUCAAGAUGGUGGUGUUGUGGUAACACCAAUCUUGGACCUUGAAGACUGAAAAGGAGCUCGUGCGAGUGGCUUAGUCAGACCAUCAGUGAGCUAAUCAUGUGUAGAGACGUGUUGCACACGUAGACGGUGAUUCUGUAUCUGGCCGCGGACAAAGUGAUAAUCAAGGGCUAUAUGUUUCAUCCUAGAGUGGAAAACUGGAUUGGCGCAAAGAUAGGUGGCGCCAAGGUUGUCACAGUACGCGGUUUGAGUUGCAGUAACAGGCACGCCAAGCUCAAGAAGAAGAGAGACUACCCAGCUAAGCUCGGAUGCAGUGUUCGCAACUGCGCGAUAUUCCGCUUCUGUUGAGGAGCGAGUCACGCCUUUUUGCUUCUUUGUUGACCAUGAAACAGGCUGAGAACCCAAGAAGAUGAGAUAUGCAUUUGUUGAUACGUAAUCAUCGGAGUCUCCAGCCCAGUCCACGCCAGAAUAGGCAUGAAGAGUUGAUGUUUGCUGUUUACACAACAUUAUUCCAUGAUCAAGAGUACCAUAGAGAUAGCGAAGGACUUGUUUAACUGCUUGCCAGUGAUCUGAAGUAGGACAGUGCAUAUACUGUGAGAGUUUAUUGACAGCGUAUGACACACCAGGGCGUGUUAGAGCAAGGUACAGGAGGCUACCGACGAUCCUGCGAUAGGGCUGCGGAUCAGCUAGUGGCGAACCAGAGUUGAGUGUGAGCUUUGAAUGAGUAGGAAGCAGAGUUGCAACCGGCUUAGGAUGUAGCAUGUCCGCUUUCUCAAGAAGAUCGGUAAUGUACUUCCUUUGUUUGAGAUGUAAGCCUUGUGAUGUACGAACAACUUCAAUGCCUAGAAAAUAACUCAGGUUGCCCAUAUCCUUGAUAGAGAAUCAAGUAGCAAGAGAGGAGUUGACUUGUUGAACCAGGUUCGAAUCACUGCCAGUGACUAAGAUGUCAUCAACGUAUACCAAGACAUAGACAAACUUCGCUUGUUGCUUGUAGAUAAACAGUGAUGUGUCCGCCAAAGAGUUAUGAAAUCCAGACUGAAUCAGAUAGGACUUAAGCUCAGAGUACCAAGCACGCAAUGCUUGUUUUAAACCAUAGAGUGCCUUGCAAAGCCGGCAAACAUGAUUGGGUUGAUCCUUAUCAGUGAAGCCCGGAGGUUGUGACAUGAAGACUUCUUCAUUGAGAUGCCCUUGGAGAAAAGCCGUGUGUUGACAUCUAUCUGUCUAACCGGCCAUUCAUUGUUAACCGCCAAGCCUAGAACAAUCCUGAUCGUUGUAGAUUUAAUGACUGGACUAAAGAUGUCCUCAUAAUCAACGCCUUGUUGCUGAUGAUAUCCUCUAGCAACAAUACGAGCUUUGUAGCGAUCGAUGGUUCCAUCAGAGUUAUACUUGAUAGUAAAUACCCAGCGACAGCCAACCACAUUCAUAGUUUUAGUAACCUCAACCAAAUCCCAAGUCGAGUGCUCAGAAGUAGAAUUGAAUUCUUUGGACAUUACAUCACGCCAGUGUUUAUGUUUCAUGGCCUAUUGCCAAGUAGAUGGAAUCCAGUGGGGAUCGGCCUGCAAGCUUGCAGUAAGGUUGUAUCGAGCAACUGGUUUGACAAUGUUGUUCUUGGAACGUGUGGUCAUUUGAUGCCGAGGCUCUGCAUGCUGUGGUUGUGUAGAAGCAGGUUGAGUAGCAACCAGCGGUUCAGAGGGCACUGGCAGAGACGUAGUGGUUGGAGCAGCAGAUGAGGACGAUGAAGCUUUUGUAGUCAUUGUGGUCUGUUGAUGUUGCUGUGUUGGUGAGGAAUCUCUGCUCGGUGAUCCAGCGGUCGCGGUCGCAGAAGGAGAUUGCAUAAGUGGUGGCGUGUAGGGUAUAACAGUUACGGGUUGUGAGGCAGAAGGAUGAGGAGGCUCAGAAGAUUCAGUAGUUGCUGGAGUGGUUAACGUGGGGAAGGGAUACUCUGUUUCAUUGAAGCGUACAUGAAGAGACGUAUAUAUCAUCGUCUCCAAAGAAUGUAAACAAAUAACAGAUAGAGAUCACGUACCUGACCCAUACAGUGGGCAAUAUCGAGAUACUCAUCUCGGUUAGUCAGGUCCUUGAGCGCUGGAAGGGGACAUCCCACGCUCUUCAGGUGCCUCAUUAUCGCAGCUAGGCCCCAAGAGUCAUCCAGGAUCGACCCAGGCUUCGAAUGGGUAAAGCUCCACCCAACAGUCCCUCCUCUAGAGGACGAGGAAGAAGAACGGAUGGAAGCUCCGCCCUGAUCGGUCCUGGGCCUCUUGUGUCUCGACGGCUCGAUCUCAGAGGUACCCUUCGGAGCCUGGUAGUCAGCCUCCGGCACCUGGACCUCAGGGAGAGGAGCAGCAUCCUGAGCUACAACCUCAGUUGGAGUAGUCUCGACAACAGGUUUGGAUCCUCCGUCGUCCAAAACUUCCUUCAUUGAGAUAAGGAACGAUCCUCCUUGGUUCCUGUCGCUUCCACGAGAAGCACUGGCAGCUUUAGAGGGGUUACCCCUAGAACGGAAUGACGGUCGCAGAGUCAUGUCACCUGGCUGAGACUUUUCAGUUCCCGAAGCACUAGCACCAGUUGAGAUCGAUACAACCGAAUCGCCUGCCGAAACUGGAACAAUGGAAAUCCUUAAGUUUAAAAACUUCAAAGCGAUAAAAUCAUUGAAAAGGUUCGAACAAGAACUUACUCUCAAGGUUCUCAGUAGGAAUGGGAUCUUGGAAAGAGGCGUUGUAGGUAUCUGGGAAUCUGGCUGCACUUAUUCGAGAAGUGGUGUAGGCCACCCAGGUACAGGGACUCUGUUGCAACUUGCGGUAUAGAGCCCUGGUGAGCUUGGUAGAGAGCUUCGGGGGAUCUUCGAUUUCUGCAAGUAAAUCAGAGCAAAAGGAUAGGAUCAUACAUUGAUACAUUUAGAUGCGAUUACUGCGGGUCAAAUCUAUUCCUUAAUGUCGGUGUUUACUAAUCAAAUGAUAGAAAACAUAGAACUUAGGAGUUGACAUGUCCAUUAGCCAUCAACAGAAACAUGUGCACUUCACCAAAAUUUCUUAAUACAACCAAAUAAAUCAUAUGACGACCCCCAUGAUCUCGCCUUCUCUCAUCUAGCUAUAUAUAUUCCAUAAAUUACGUAUGUAAGCACGUACACACAUCCAACAGUAUCUGAAUAGAUUAGUGCUGUUGGCCAAUGAUUUUAGGAUCUGACAAUUUAGAAUAUUUCAGUGACUUUCAUUUCACACAAACAAUCCAUUUCAGAUUAUUUGGUGAGAAGUUUCGCUCAAAGAUUUAUCAGAUUAAUUAAAUGGACACUACGUCAUACCAACACUGUGAAAUUUAAACUAGAUGUAUGUAUACUAUGUAAUUUGGAUGAUUCGGCUAAAUUAAAACUUUCACAAUCGCAAGUUUCAGUCUCUGUGGGAAGAGAAGUGGUGGUGGCAGUGAGGUCACAUGGAGAGCCCACAAAUAACAUAAGAAAAUGAUUAUCCGGGAUUCUUAGUGGGUUUUUUAGUGCGUGGGCCACCACAAAAUCCUUAAGGAUCGGUUACAAAAACUACUAAUUAAGAACCGAUCUUAGUGAGUUUCUUACACUGUUCGCAGGUCCCACUGACACGUGGCGGCCCGCGAUUGGUUUGCUUUUUAAUUUUUUUUUUUUUUUUAAAAAAAAACUAAGAAACCCAAAAACUAAGAAAUCCAUUGGGUUUUUUAGGGAUAAUCAUGGCCUUAGAUGCCUUGAAGAAAGACCGAGCAUGUAUGGAACCCUCACCUGUCUUGUCAAAUCCGCUCCGUCUCUAAAAAAAAAAAAAACCAACAACAACCUAUUGGCGGACUAUCUAUUAGCAUCAGUAUCUAUUUGCAUGGACACGGAAACUACAUGCAAUGCCGUCCCAUAAUUUGGGAUGACCUAAAGCACAAAAAAAAUUGUGUGGCCUAUUAUAUAAAUACCAACAAUAUAUAGCAAUACACUAACAUCAAACCAGUACAAAAGUGUAAAAAGUAAUCAAAUGGUUAAAAUAAAAACUAUAUUGGACAAAAGGGGGAUCGAACUAUGGUAUCCUAACUCAAUUCAAACUUGUUAACGAUUAGACCUAGCUAAUAUUUGGUGAUAUGUGGCCUUAAUUUUUCUUCUAUAUAUUGUGGCCUAAAGCAUAUGCUCUAGUUGCCUUAUGGCAGGGACGGGCCUGACUACAUGAAAUCAAUGUCGAAAGACAUCAAUAAAGUCAAUGCACUGAGCGUAUGUGAAAAUCCUCCAUUGUUACUUAACAACACUCGCAAGGACAUAUGCCACAGUAACCUAUCUCCCCCAACAACAUAAAAGAAAAAUGCGACCAAUCUUACUAUUACAAACAAAUAAAAUAAAUGAUAUAUUUCAUAUAAAACCUACUCUACAAAAUUUUAUAUUUUAUGCUUCAACUAUUAGUCAUUCAAUUUGUUUAUUCAAAAAAUAUAAACGUUAUUUCACUACUUUGAAAUAAAUUUAUACACCUCGCGUAUGUCAAUAAAAUAGCAAUCCCUCGUAUACAGAAUAUACAUCCAAUUGAUAAAUGUAAAGCUGAUCCUCAACAUCGUUGAGACUUCCAUAAUAACGGCUCCACAAUUUAAACAAAUAGCUACAACAUCAACUUAUUUGUUCAAAAAAAUUCUUUACUGAUAUUUUACGCUAAGAAAAACAUCAGACAAUUUCUAUUCAGGGAUGGUCUAUAUUUUUUUCAACGGAGAUCACUAAGAGAUUUUGCUUAUAAUUUAGUAGGCUGAAAAAGAUUUCUUCCCAUUAUUAUAUAUACUAGGGACAUUGCCCCCGCGCAAGCGCGGGGUUGUGGACAAAGUUCUUGUUUCAUCUCAAUAUUUUUGCUAGGGUUAUUGUAGUUGUGAAUUUUGCGUUUUGAGUUGUUUUUCAAGUUUUUUUUAUUGUUGUUAUAGGGUUAGAGUUGUGAUGAUAAACUGUGUAUGCAUUGUUCUCCACUUAUGAAGGACUAAACUGUGUUAGUAAUGUGAUUGAUAUAAUUCGUGUUGUUGUUUGUUGUGUCACUGAAACUUAUUGUUUGUUUGUCUUUUUAAUUUGUUUCUUGUACUGUUGAGAGUACAUAAAUUAUAUUAAAGUUGUUGAAAAUACUUUUUGUUUCUGGAUAUUUUUUCUCCAGUUUAGUCGUGUAAGUUGUGUGUAUUAAGUAAUAAUUUUUAUUAUCCUUAUUAUGUUUGUAAUAUUUUUUUAUUUUAUUUUUAAACUUGUUGCUCUUAUUGGACCUUUAAAACAAAUACAUGAAGACUUGUAGAAAUAACUAUAAGAUGAGUGACAGUUCUGAGUAUUUGGGCUUUAAUGAGUUUUAAACGAAUUUAUGUAUUUUUCAUAAGAAGAUAAUAGCAUUGGCCUGUUGACAUUGGACAUGUAAGCUAUUUUUAUAAGACAAGAGGAGUGAGCAGGUGGAGCUGUUGUUGCCACCUUUGUGUCUGUCGGGAUUGUCUCUUGUAUCUCUUGUUGUGGCUGUGUUUGUUUAUUUUUUAUUUGAUGGGGAAUAUGUGAACAAAAAUCAUUGUUAGUUGUAUUUAUCAUAGUUCAUAACUUACUUUGCUUUUUUGUUUAGUAAUUUCAUUGAUCUUGGUUGUCGUAUUCGUCUUUUUCGUUGCAAAAGUAAGUUUGUAAAUUGUUAAAUAGCUGACCGUGUAGUUUGUAUUUGUUUAACUGACUCGAUGUAUGUGUCGUUGCGAAAGUAAGUUUGUAAAUUGUUAAAUAGCUGGCCGUGUAGUUUGUAUUUGUUUAGAUGACUCGAUGUAUGUGUCGUUGAGUUUUAGUUGAAAUGAUUAGUUUGGCAUAUUUGUUUUGAAGUUUAUUUCUAAGAUUAGACAAAAAGGAGAGGUGAUCAUUAAUGAUUCGUCUUUUUUGGAAUUCUAGUUUUUGAUGUUUUGAUUGUUUGGGUUGUUGUGGUUUCUUUUAAGCUGUAAAAUAAAGAUUUGUGUAAAAUUAGUUUGAUAAGUAAGAGAGAAAAAUAGACGACCACAGAAUUUGGGUAGGAAAUAUUUUUGAUUAUUGAUGUUAGCACAAUAUAGAUAAUAGUAUAAAGAGAAUUGUGUGUUGAUUGUUUCUUACGGAUCAAUUAGGAGAUGGAUAACGACUCUAGUUGUUUCUUUGCUAAGGUCAGAGCCUUGGACAGAACGGAUUUGCCCAACUACAUCUGCGAGUUUAAAUAUCAUUUAUGAUAACAAAACAUAUUAUAAACUCAGAUGCAAUAUAAUAAUAUACCUGAGAGUUCUAGGUUUGUGUUCGCAAUGGCUUGGAAAUUGUCAAAUCGUCUAAUUAUGAUUGGAGAUUGAUCUCAGGAGCACCCGUGAUGACUUCAUCAAUAAUAGUACUUCAUCAAUAAUAGUUGGUGAAAUGAAACAAAUGAGGAAUGUAUGAUCAAUUAUCUUGUACAUGCUUGAGCAUCUAGCAACCUCAAAACGAUCGACUUUCAGUCUUUCACAAUGGAACUGGCUUUCAAAGAUGGCAUGUAAUGAUUAGCACGUCCGGCGGGAAUAAACCCAUGAAUCACAGAAUCUGCAAAUAAUAUUAUUUAACAAAGAAUCAGGAAAUCAAUUAAAAAUAAUUAUAUUAAAUAAGUGUGAUAAAUCGAAGAUUAACUUACCUUUUCAUCAAGGAAGAGAACCGUGAUUCGCAUAAACUCAAUGUCUUUCUUGAAGUUCAGAGAAUUCCAUAAGCGCGGAGGUUAGAGGCUAUGCUCUGACUACUACGACCAACACGGAGAGACUCGAAGGUUGAGUGACGGAUGCCGGAAACGCCGGUUUGAGGAACUGAAGAGGCAGAAAGACAUUUUCUAGAAGAUCCUUAAAGCUAAGAGGAAUCAAUGAGUUUUGUGGAGAUGCAAAUUGGGUUCAUCAAAGAUGAUAAUCAUAUAUAUAGGGUUUAAAGAAAGGCUACAAAUCAGGAACAUUUAAGAUCAAGCGAUUUAAGAUGGGGAGAUAAAGAGUUCACCGGUGAAAAAAUAGAUUACGAACAGACACACAGCGCNNNNNNNNNNNNNNNNNNNNNNNNNNNNNNNNNNNNNNNNNNNNNNNNNNNNNNNNNNNNNNNNNNNNNNNNNNNNNNNNNNNNNNNNNNNNNNNNNNNNNNNNNNNNNNNNNNNNNNNNNNNNNNNNNNNNNNNNNNNNNNNNNNNNNNNNNNNNNNNNNNNNNNNNNNNNNNNNNNNNNNNNNNNNNNNNNNNNNNNNNNNNNNNNNNNNNNNNNNNNNNNNNNNNNNNNNNNNNNNNNNNNNNNNNNNNNNNNNNNNNNNNNNNNNNNNNNNNNNNNNNNNNNNNNNNNNNNNNNNNNNNNNNNNNNNNNNNNNNNNNNNNNNNNNNNNNNNNNNNNNNNNNNNNNNNNNNNNNNNNNNNNNNNNNNNNNNNNNNNNNNNNNNNNNNNNNNNNNNNNNNNNNNNNNNNNNNNNNNNNNNNNNNNNNNNNNNNNNNNNNNNNNNNNNNNNNNNNNNNNUUUAGGGUUUAAAGUUUAUACUACACAAUUAACAAAUAUCCCGCGCGUAGCGCGGACAAGCCACUAGUAAUAUAUAAUUUUGGAUUAUUAAAUAUUGCUUGAAUGUUAUUGGAUAACAAAAUACAUGACUUUUGAUUGGAUGGAAAUACGGCCGGCAAAUUAAUUUUUAAAAAAAUCUAAAAAAGUAAUAAAUUGCCAUUGUAAAUAAUUCUAAAACUAAGGGUAGAAGAAUCCUAGGAGGGAUUUUGCUUUAAUAGUAGGGGAAAUUACAUGUUUACCAAUUUCAUGCUACCACUUUUCAGUUUUACAAUCACUAAAGGGACACUUAUGACCUUGUUCUUUAUAUAUACUAGGAAACAAAUCCGCGCAUUCGCGCGGGCAAUCAAAAUCCUUUACCAAAAACUAAAUUAUUUAAUAUUCAUAAAUUGUAUAUAUUUAAUAAUUAUAUAUAUAAUACUUUUUUUAUUUUUUCAUUUAAAUACUGAAUAUAUUAGCUUAAAAUAAAAAAAUCAACAACAUAAGGAAAAAGAUGUAAAAUGUAUAUAACAAAUUAAAUAUAAAUUGACUUUUGAAUUUAUAGAACAAUAGAUAUACUUUUUUAUUAGUAAUAUCGGUUGAGACAAUGGUAAAGACUGGCUAGACAAGAAGUUCAUGUUCAGUAUUAGGAAUAUCAACCUUUUGUUUAAUCUUUGCGGAUUCUUUAAUCUACGGGACAGCUGUCUCGACACGAAUUUUUUUUUUCCUUCUGUAAUGUAGAAAUUAAAAUUAAUUCCUCUCUUGCGUGUUUACUAUUUCACUGCCAUGGCAUUUAUCGGAGUAAAUCAUAUUCUAUAAAUAUGAUAUUUAUCUAGUAUGAUCAACUGGAUGAAGCAGAGGACAUAUAGUCAUGGACUAAAGCAAGCUAUGAAAAGUAACUGCUUACAGACUACCAAGAUAUAUGAUAUAUGAGAUCGAUGAUAUCGAUGAAGUUUUUUUUUUUUUUUCAAACUUACAACUUUAUUAUAUCGAUGAAGUUUAUUUUCAAAUCUUUCUUUUAAAAGUUUGGGAGCCCUUCAUCUCAACAAGUAUUUUAUAGAGGACUCAGUUUCAGGUCUUGACAUUGGCAUAACAAAAAGGCAUCCUUGUCGCAACAAAGCCCAUAUACAGUGAUAAAAUAGUAGAUUCACUUUGUAUUUUUCUUACCUAUAAUCGGUAUUUUUAGCAUGUGCAAUCAUCUAAUAAAUGCUACUUGGGUGUCAUCCUUGUCUUGUUGUGCAGUUUCCUAAUGUUCCUCGCCAAGGAUUUGAUUCAGAGUAUAAUUCUUACCAAUAAAUGUAAAUCUCUUAAUUUAGACUUUGAUCUCUAGGCAUUUUCUUGAAUUAGAUGGGGUAUGCCCUUUUUUUUUCUUGACCAAACCAUAUUUUCAUUACUACUUUAAAUCCAAGGUUUAAGGAGCAUACAAAGCUGAUUUAGCAAAAGAAUCAACUUCAAAAAAUCUUUUCACAAAAAUAAACCACUUAAAUAAUACACCAGUUGAAAUACAUAUAAUGUUUUUAAUGUACAUAAAAAUAAAGUAAUAGUUUUAAAUUAAAGAAUUUGAAAAUGUGUCAAAAGGACAAAGGAAAUAUCAUAUGUUGUUUUGGUAACUUAAAACAAAAAGUUCUUUGUGAUUAUACUAACAAUUAAUUAAAUCUAACGCAUGUAACAAAAAUGAGGAUAGUUUAACAUCUCAAUUUAAAAAUACCAUAAAUGAAACAAUUGUUUUAACUUUUGUCAAAUAUUAGGUUACACAAAUCUCUUUUUAUGAUAAGUAAAGUUUAUGUUUUAUCAAAACUAAGAUACAUAAAUAUAAAAAGAAAUUCUAAUGUUUGUAUGUGAUUCUUCAAAAGUCUUCUAUGAUCAUUUAGAUCUUAAAGUAGUUACAAUGGUUAUUUUUUAAAAAUUGUAAUGAUUUUUAUAAAUAGUUGUAAAUCUUCAUCUAAGCAAUUGCAAUGAUUCAUUUAGAUGAUUUUAUCCAUUAAAUCUGCAACAGAACAUUCUAUGUUCUCAGCCUUUUGUUUUGCUUAAAUAUGAUGAUUUUAUUCAAGACCGUUGGAAUUUGAAUAAUAUGGUACUGAAUAAUGUUUAUAUAUCUUUACUUAUCACAUAAUUUGUAUACUAUGGUACUGUAUAUUAGCGACACUUGUUUGAAAGUAAGAUUCAUAUUUUUCAAUAGCUUUAAACUAUCUUGAAAAUUUUAUUAUUUUCAAAAUUUUAAGAUAUAAUGAAAUUUUUUAUCAAAAUUUUGAUUUGAGAGCGUUUUGAAAAUUGAAGUUAGGAGAAAAUGUUGUACAAAUUGUAAUAUAUAGAGUUGAAAAAUAUUAGUUUAUAAACUCUUCAAGAAAAAAGCAGUUAUAAAAGAAAGAAAAAUAUAAUUUAUAGCCAAAAAAAACAUUAUCUUCAAUAAAAUUAGUGAAGUAAGUUUUAACUUUUUUAAUUUUUGAAAGUAAGUUUUGAUAAAGAGUCACAUUUGUAAAAACCAUUUGCUGGGAUUCUUUGAUUGUGUUUUUUUUUAACACUUAGAAAAACUGAGAAACAGACAACAAGAUACCAGCAGGUACCGUAGAGAUCUAAAGAGAAACAUGAAAGAACUAAGCCAAAAGAAACAAGAUGGCAAUUAAAGGUGCCACUGGCACAUAUCCCCUGAGCCAGCCAAUGGAAUAGAAAAUUAGACACCUGCCUCCUGUUGGAUAGCUUGAUGAAGCCAGCAAGGUCCACCAGCGGGUGACAUAAGAUUGCGUACAGAAGUAUGAGACCACACUAUCUGCAAUCGCUGUUGCUACAUUAUUUUUAUGGUCAAGCACGUGGAAUCAGACCAUUCAUCAAAACGGUGUGUCGGUGCAGCAACUCAAGGAUUUUUGUAGAAAGUGAUAAGAGUUCAGGAUAGCUGUAUGGAUCCAGAAGUGACUGUCUCACCUCCGCAGAAGAAACUUCAAACAGAAUUUUUCGUUGCUUCAGAUAAUCAGGUUGCCCAUCUCUUCCACAGCCCACAACAUAGCCUUUAAGUUUGACUCCUGUUUAGAUAGGGGAGAACAGAAAGCACGGCGGCUAUGGUCAAGCGGACGGCACUGACUAUCUCUUGUAACCCAGCUAGCACCCCUCAGAGGUCCAGAGCUAUCCCAAGCCAUGCCAACAUUGCAUUUGAUAAAACAAGGGGAGACUUUUCCCAAGAGUUGUGUGAAGACGGCUUGUUUCCAAAGCCGCAGCCUGAUUAUUCUCAUUGUAGUUAACCAUAUACCAAAUAUCUCCCUCUUCCAGCGACUUAGAGAUGCAUGAAGCAGAGGAGAUUCGGCUUUUCUCAAACACCAAAGCAUUUCUCCCUUUCCAAAGGUUCCAGAGUAUCCAAGGGAAGGACUUAAUAUUACCAUAAUCUGUCCUCUGUUUUUUUUUUGUGCUUGCUACCAGAUAGGAAGGUUCAGAAAGAUAGAUGACUGCGAAAAACCAGAGGGAGGAGGCUCUAUUUGUUCCAGACGCCGGGCUUCCACUGCUGUAGGACAGUGAACAGGACAUGAAAAAUCGUUUCCAAGGCUUGACAACACGCAUGACAAAUUGUGUUUGACCAUUCAUAAUUCAAAAGCACAUAAUAUUCACUAAUACACAGGUACAAUAUAAAAAGUAGAGUUAUUAUAUUUAUAUUUGUAGUUUACUAAUUUAUAACAGUAUAAAUGUUUUUCCUAGAAACUUACUGAUGAAGUCUCCCACUUCUUUUUCAAGUCCUCACCACUUAAACGCACGCACAGGCACAGAUGAAUGGUGCACUUGAGGAUGCUGUUGAGUCUGUGAUAGUCUAUAGUAAUUGUUCUGGUCCUCCUAACAAUCCCUCAUUUACAAAUUCUUAGCGAUCUAGACCACCUUUUGAAACCUUAAUUAAAAAUGAUGUAUGCAGAAUGUAACAGACAUCAUACAUAUGACGUUACGUAAUCCCAUCUUAACAAGCCUGAAUAUAAAAAAUUUAUAUAAAAGGUAUUAAUUUCCUAAACCAUUAGAUGAUCAGCGCACUGUCUGUACGGUGAUGCUGGAUCUGCUUUACAAUCAAAAAAAAUCUGAAUCGCACUGCAGUGUAUAAAUAUUCAAUAGACAUCAUGAUUGAGUUCUUCUGAAUCGUGGAUCCUACACAGACUAAUCAAACAAUGAAUGGGAAGCGUCUGAAAUCAUCAGAAAAGGAAAAAAGGAGAAAGGAAAAAUGAACUAAAGCGGAAAAAAUUACACUGGAUUUGGAUGCGGAGGAGAGAGAGAGAUAAGAAGCAUAGAAAACUUGAAACAAAUCUGCAACUCGAUACAAUCUCUUCAAUAUAUAAACUUCUGAACAGUUACAAGAAAAUGAUGACGGUUCCACAGAAGAUCUAGAAGAUCUGAGUGUGAAAAGAUACAACCUUUAAGGAAAAAACAGAUGAUCUGUUUAAGAGACGCCUGUGAGGAGGUAUGAUGAAGCCGUCGAUUGCUAUAGUAAAUCUAGUACGUCAUUCUUUUGUUUCUAAACAAAACCUUAACCAUUAAAUUAUAUCACAGACACGAUUCUCACCAUUAGAUUUUGAUUUUUUUUCCUAUAAUAAAUUGAUGAUGUCAUCAGUUAGAUAAAAAAGAUUUGCUAUUAUAUAUAGAUAAUAAAUAUAUACUAUUUCUAAAUUCAAACCCUAAACCCUAAAACUCAAUUCUAAACCCUAAAUCAUCAAUCAUAAACCAUAUUUUAUUUUGAAAUAUGAACCCUAAACCCUAAACCAUCAAUCUUAAACCCUUUAUUUUUUUUUCGAAUUAUACUAUUUUGAAAUAUGAACCCUAAACCCUAAACCAUCAAUCUUAAACCCUUUUAUUUUUUGAAAUACAAACCCUAAAUCCUGAAACAUCAAUUCUAAACUCUAAACCUCGAAACAUCAACUCUAAACCCUAAACCUUCAACUCUAAACCCUAAAACAUCAACUCUAAACCCUAAACCCUAAAAUUCAACCCUAAACCCUAAACCAUCAACACUAAACCAUAAAUUUUCAACACUAAAACCUAAACCCUAAAAAGUAAACUCUAAACCCUAAAAAGAAAACUCUAAACCCUAAACCCUAAAAAAUUGCCCCUAAACCCUAAAACAUCUAACUCUAAACCCUAAACCUUCAACUUAAAACCUAAACCCUAAAUCCUAAACCCUAAACCCUAAACCCUAAACCCUAAAACCGUAGAGUUGAUGUUUUAGGGUUUAGAUUUGAAGGUUUAGGGGUUUAGGGUUUACAGUUUACAUUUAGGGUUUAGAGUUGAUUUUUAAGGUUUAGAUUUGAAGGUUUAGGGCUUAGGGUUCAAAUUUCAGAAAAAUAUAGGGUUUAGAGUUUACGUUUAGGGUUUUGAGCUGAUGUUUUAGGGUUUAGAUAUGAAGGUUUAGGGUUUAGAGUUUAGAGUUGAAGUUUCGCGGUUUAGGGUUUAGAGUUGAUGUUUCAUGGUUUAGGGUUUAGAGUUGAUGAUUUAGGGUUUAAAGUUGAUGUUUUAAGUUUAGAUUUAGGGUUUAGGGUUUACGUUUAGGGUUUAGAGUUGAUGUUUAGGAGUUUAGAUUUGAAGGUUUAGGGUUUAAAGUUAAUGUUUCGGGGUUUAGGGUUUAGAGUUGAUGUUUCAUGGUUUAGAGUUUAGAGUUGAUGAUUUAAGGUUUAAAGUUGAUGUUAAGAGUUUAGUUAACCGUAUAUUUUUUUUGGUCAAAGUUAAUCAAAAAGUUAUAAAUGUCUUUUACCCUUCAUUAAAGAUGAUGGUAAAAGUGGUUAGUGUAAACAUGAAAAGUGAUACUUUGAAAAUAGUAUUUUGGGCAAUUUUCCUCACAAAAUUAGGAUAUUGUUAAGAAUAUCGUAUAAUAUUGUUAAGAAUAUUUCCAUAAAUAAUAAUAAGAUAUUGCUGUGGUGGUUUUGGAAAUAUAAAUAAUAUUUUUAUGAACAGAAAAUUCCAAUACCUAUUAACAUAAGGUGUUCGUACGUGGUGUGUAUCUAAUUUAUUACUUUCACUUGUAGUUUAGACAGAAACUUUAAUUAUAACUGUACCUCAACUCUAAAACAUGGGAUUAGUCAUAAUGUUGCAAUAAGUUUUGAUUUAACAACUUUACAAAGGGUGUAAAGUUUAGGGUUUAGAAUUGAUUUUUAAGGUUUAGAUUUGAAGGUUUAGGGUUUAGGGUUCAAAUUUCAGAAACUAUAGGGUUUAGAGUUUACGUUUAGGGUUUUGAGCUGAUGUUUUAGGGUUUAGAUUUGAAGGUUUAGGGUUUAGAGUUUAGAGUUGAAGUUUCGCGGUUUGGGGUUUAGAGUUGAUGUUUCAUGGUUUAGGGUUUAGAGUUGAUGAUUUAGGGUUUAAAGUUGAUGUUUUAAGUUUAGAUUUAGGGUUUAGGGUUUACGUUUAGAGUUUAGAGUUGAUGUUUUAGGGUUUAGAUUUGAAGGUUUAGGGUUUAGAAUUAAUGUUUCAGGGUUUAGGGUUUAGAGUUGAUGUUUCAUGGUUUAUAGUUUAGAGUUGAUGAUUUAAGGUUUAAAGUUGAUGUUAAAAGUUUAGUUAACCGUAUAUUUUUUUUGGUCAAAGUUAAUCAAAAAGUUAUAAAUGUCUUUUACUCUUCAUUAAAGAUGAGGGUAAAAGUGGUUAGUGUAAACAUGAAAAGUGAUACUUUGAAAAUAGUAUUUUCGGCAAUUUUCCUCACAAAAUUAGGAUAUUGUUAAGAAUAUCGUAUAAUAUUGUUAAGAACAUUUCCAUAAAUAAUAAUAAUAUAUUGUUGUGGUGGCUUUGGAAAUAUAAAUAAUAUUUUUAUGAACAGAAAAUUCCAAUACCUAUUAACAUAAGGUGUUCGUACGUGGUGUGUAUCUAAUUUAUUACUUUCACUUGUAGUUUAGACAGAAACUUUAAUUAUAACUGUACCUCAACUCUAAAACAUGGGAUUAGUCAUAAUGUUGCAAUAAGUUUUGAUUUAACAACUUUACAAAGGGUGUAACUCAAAAUUGUAACUCAACCAUAAUACAUAAUAACUCAAACUUAAAAUAAAAACAAAAAAAAACUAAAUUUAAUGCAUGACUGAUGAUAUGUUUGAGUUAUCUAUGAGUUAGAAGCUUAACUCAAACUAAAUCAAUGUUACCACAUGUUAUAGAAUACACCGAAUGAAUAUAUUAUUAAGUAUGUGAAAUUUAUUUAUACAUCAGUACAUGUAGGGUUAUUAACAAUACUAAGUAAUUGCAAAGAGAUCCUUUGAGUAUAUAUUAUUUACUUAACAUGCCCCCUCAAGAUGGUGGUGCUGUGGUAACACCAAUCUUGGACCUUGAAGACUGAAAAGGAGCUCGUGCGAGUGGCUUAGUCAGACCAUCAGUGAGCUAAUCAUGUGUAGAGACGUGUUGCACACGUAGACGGUGAUUCUGUAUCUGGCCGCGGACAAAGUGAUAAUCAAGGGCUAUAUGUUUCAUCCUAGAGUGGAAAACUGGAUUGGCGCAAAGAUAGGUGGCGCCAAGGUUGUCACAGUACGCGGUUUGAGUUGCAGUAACAGGCACGCCAAGCUCAAGAAGAAGAGAGACUACCCAGCUAAGCUCGGAUGCAGUGUUCGCAACUGCGCGAUAUUCCGCUUCUGUUGAGGAGCGAGUCACGCCUUUUUGCUUCUUUGUUGACCAUGAAACAGGCUGAGAACCCAAGAAGAUGAGAUAUGCAUUUGUUGAUACGUAAUCAUCGGAGUCUCCAGCCCAGUCCACGCCAGAAUAGGCAUGAAGAGUUGAUGUUUGCUGUUUACACAACAUUAUUCCAUGAUCAAGAGUACCAUAGAGAUAGCGAAGGACUUGUUUAACUGCUUGCCAGUGAUCUGAAGUAGGAUAGUGCAUAUACUGUGAGAGUUUAUUGACAGCGUAUGACACACCUGGGCGUGUUAGAGCAAGGUACUGGAGGCUACCGACGAUCCUGCGAUAGGGCUGCGGAUCAGCUAGUGGCGAACCAGAGUUGAGUGUGAGCUUUGGAUGAGUAGGAAGCAGAGUUGCAACCGGCUUAGGAUGUAGCAUGUCCGCUUUCUCAAGAAGAUCGGUAAUGUACUUCCUUUGUUUGAGAUGUAAGCCUUGUGAUGUACGAACAACUUCAAUGCCUAGAAAAUAACUCAGGUUGCCCAUAUCCUUGAUAGAGAAUCAAGUAGCAAGAGAGGAGUUGACUUGUUGAACCAGGUUCGAAUCACUGCCAGUGACUAAGAUGGUAUCAACGUAUACCAAGACAUAGACAAACUUCGCUUGUUGCUUGUAGAUAAACAGUGAUGUGUCCGCCAAAGAGUUAUGAAAUCCAGACUGAAUCAGAUAGGACUUAAGCUCAGAGUACCAAGCACGCAAUGCUUGUUUUAAACCAUAGAGUGCCUUGCGAAGCCGGCAAACAUGAUUGGGUUGAUCCUUAUCAGUGAAGCCCGAAGGUUGUGACAUGAAGACUGCUUCAUUGAGAUGCCGUUGGAGAAAAGCCGUGUGUUGACAUCUAUCUGUCUAACCGGCCAGUCAUUGUUAACCGCCAAGCCUAGAACAAUCAUGAUCGUUGUAGAUUUAAUGACUGGACUAAAGAUGUCCUCAUAAUCAACGCCUUGUUGCUGAUGAUAUCCUUUAGCAACAAUACGAGCUUUGUAGCGAUCGAUGGUUCUAUCAGAGUUAUACUUGAUAGUAAAUACCAAGCGACAGCCAACCACAUUCAUAGUUUUAGUAACCUCAACCAAAUCCCAAGUUGAGUGCUCAGAAGUAGAAUUGAAUUCUUUGGACAUUGCAUCACGCCAGUGUUUAUGUUUCGGUUUAGAGUUGAUGUUUCGGGGUUUAGGGUUUACAGUUGAUGUUUCAUGGUUUAGGGUUUAGAAUUGAUGAUUUAGGGUUUAAAGUUGAUGUUUUAAGUUUAGAUUUAGGGUUUACAUUUUAAGGGUUUAGAGUUGAUGUUUUAGGGUUUAGAUUUGAAGGUUUAGAGUUGAUGUUUCGGGGUUUAGGGUUUAGAGUUGAUGUUUCAUGGUUUUGGGUUUAGAGUUGAUGAUUUAGGAUUUUGAGUUGAUGUUUUAAGUUUAGAUUAGUUAACCAUAUGUUUUUUUUGGUCAAAGUUAAUCAAAAAGUUAUAAAUGUCUUUUACUCUUCAUUAAAGAUGAGGGUAAAAGUGGUUAGUGUAAACAUGAAAAGAGAUACUUUGAAAAUAGUAUUUUCGGCAAUUUUCCUCACAAAAUUAGGAUAUUGUUAAGAAUAUCGUAUAAUAUUGUUAAGAAUAUUUCCAUAAAUAAUAAUAAGAUAUUGCUGUGGUGGUUUUGGAAAUAUAAAUAAUAUUUUUAUGAACAGAAAAUUCCAAUACCUAUUAACAUAAGGUGUUCGUACGUGGUGUGUAUCUAAUUUAUUACUUUCACUUGUAGUUUAGACAGAAACUUUAAUUAUAACUGUACCUCAACUCUAAAACAUGGGAUUAGUCAUAAUGUUGCAAUAAGUUUUGAUUUAACAACUUUACAAAGGGUGUAACUCAAAAUUGUAACUCAACCAUAAUACAUAAUAACUCAAACUUAAAAUAAAAACAAAAAAAAACUAAAUUUAAUGCAUGACUGAUGAUAUGUUUGAGUUAUCUAUGAGUUAGAAGCUUAACUCAAACUAAAUCAAUGUUACCACAUGUUAUAGAAUACACCGAAUGAAUAUAUUAUUAAGUAUGUGAAAUUUAUUUAUACAUCAGUACAUGUAGGGUUAUUAACAAUACUAAGUAAUUGCAAAGAGAUCCUUUGAGUAUAUAUUAUUUACUUAACAUGCCCCCUCAAGAUGGUGGUGCUGUGGUAACACCAAUCUUGGACCUUGAAGACUGAAAAGGAGCUCGUGCGAGUGGCUUAGUCAGACCAUCAGUGAGCUAAUCAUGUGUAGAGACGUGUUGCACACGUAGACGGUGAUUCUGUAUCUGGCCGCGGACAAAGUGAUAAUCAAGGGCUAUAUGUUUCAUCCUAGAGUGGAAAACUGGAUUGGCGCCAAGGUUGUCACAGUACGCGGUUUGAGUUGCAGUAACAGGCACGCCAAGCUCAAGAAGAAGAGAGACUACCCAGCUAAGCUCGGAUGCAGUGUUCGCAACUGCGCGACAUUCCGCUUCUGUUGAGGAGCGAGUCACGCCUUUUUGCUUCUUUGUUGACCAUGAAACAGGCUGAGAACCCAAGAAGAUGAGAUAUGCAUUUGUUGAUACGUAAUCAUCGGAGUCUCCAGCCCAGUCCACGCCAGAAUAGGCAUGAAGAGUUGAUGUUUGCUGUUUACACAACAUUAUUCCAUGAUCAAGAGUACCAUAGAGAUAGCGAAGGACUUGUUUAACUGCUUGCCAGUGAUCUGAAGUAGGACAGUGCAUAUACUGUGAGAGUUUAUUGACAGCGUAUGACACACCUGGGCGUGUUAGAGCAAGGUACUGGAGGCUACCGACGAUCCUGCGAUAGGGCUGCGGAUCAGCUAGUGGCGAACCAGAGUUGAGUGUGAGCUUUGGAUGAGUAGGAAGCAGAGUUGCAACCGGCUUAGGAUGUAGCAUGUCCGCUUUCUCAAGAAGAUCGGUAAUGUACUUCCUUUGUUUGAGAUGUAAGCCUUGUGAUGUACGAACAACUUCAAUGCCUAGAAAAUAACUCAGGUUGCCCAUAUCCUUGAUAGAGAAUCAAGUAGCAAGAGAGGAGUUGACUUGUUGAACCAGGUUCGAAUCACUGCCAGUGACUAAGAUGUCAUCAACGUAUACCAAGACAUAGACAAACUUCGCUUGUUGCUUGUAGAUAAACAGUGAUGUGUCCGCCAAAGAGUUCUGAAAUCCAGACUGAAUCAGAUAGGACUUAAGCUCAGAGUACCAAGCACGCAAUGCUUGUUUUAAACCAUAGAGUGCCUUGCGAAGCCGGCAAACAUGAUUGGGUUGAUCCUUAUCAGUGAAGCCCGAAGGUUGUGACAUGAAGACUGCUUCAUUGAGAUGCCGUUGGAGAAAAGCCGUGUGUUGACAUCUAUCUGUCUAACCGGCCAGUCAUUGUUAACCGCCAAGCCUAGAACAAUCCUGAUCGUUGUAGAUUUAAUGACUGGACUAAAGAUGUCCUCAUAAUCAACGCCUUGUUGCUGAUGAUAUCCUUUAGCAACAAUACGAGCUUUGUAGCGAUCGAUGGUUCUAUCAGAGUUAUACUUGAUAGUAAAUACCAAGCGACAGCCAACCACAUUCAUAGUUUUAGUAACCUCAACCAAAUCCCAAGUUGAGUGCUCAGAAGUAGAAUUGAAUUCUUUGGACAUUGCAUCACGCCAGUGUUUAUGUUUCAUGGCCUGUUGCCAAGUAGAUGGAAUCCAGUGGGGAUCGGCCUGCAAGCUUGCAGUAAGGUUGUAUCGAGCAACUGGUUUGAAAAUGUUGUUCUUGGAACGUGUGGUUAUUUGAUGCCGAGGCUCUGCAUGCUGUGGUUGUGUAGAAGCAGGUUGAGUAGCAACCAGCAUGUUUUAAGUUUAGAUUUAGGGUUUAGGGUUUACGUUUAGAAAACAUGGGAUUAGUCAUAAUGUUGCAAUAAGUUUUGAUUUAACAACUUUACAAAGGGUGUAACUCAAAAUUGUAACUCAACCAUAAUACAUAAUAACUCAAACUUAAAAUAAAAACAAAAAAAAACUAAAUUUAAUGCAUGAUUGAUGAUAUGUUUGAGUUAUCUAUGAGUUAGAAGCUUAACUCAAACUAAAUCAAUGUUACCACAUGUUAUAGAAUACACCGAAUGAAUAUAUUAUUAAGUAUGUGAAAUUUAUUUAUACAUCAGUACAUGUAGGGUUAUUAACAAUACUAAGUAAUUGCAAAGAGAUCCUUUGAGUAUAUAUUAUUUACUUAACAUGCCCCCUCAAGAUGGUGGUGCUGUGGUAACACCAAUCUUGGACCUUGAAGACUGAAAAGGAGCUCGUGCGAGUGGCUUAGUCAGACCAUCAGUGAGCUAAUCAUGUGUAGAGACGUGUUGCACACGUAGACGGUGAUUCUGUAUCUGGCCGCGGACAAAGUGAUAAUCAAGGGCUAUAUGUUUCAUCCUAGAGUGGAAAACUGGAUUGGCGCAAAGAUAGGUGGCGCCAAGGUUGUCACAGUACGCGGUUUGAGUUGCAGUAACAGGCAUGCCAAGCUCAAGAAGAAGAGAGACUACCCAGCUAAGCUCGGAUGCAGUGUUCGCAACUGCGCGAUAUUCCGCUUCUGUUGAGGAGCGAGUCACGCCUUUUUGCUUCUUUGUUGACCAUGAAACAGGCUGAGAACCCAAGAAGAUGAGAUAUGCAUUUGUUGAUACGUAAUCAUCGGAGUCUCCAGCCCAGGAUGUUUUAAGUUUAGAUUUAGGGUUUAGGGUUUACUUUGAAGGUUUCAUUUAGAGUUGAUGAUUUAGGGUUUAAAGUUGAUGUUUUAAGUUAGAUUUAUAUAAAAGUAUUAAUUUCCUAAACCAUUAGAUGAUCAGCGCACUGUCUGUACGGUGAUGCUGGAUCUGCUUUACAAUCAAAAAAAUCUGAAUCGCACUGCAGUGUAUAAAUAUUCAAUAGACAUCAUGAUUGAGUUCUUCUGAAUCGUGGAUCCUACACAGACUAAUCAAACAAUGAAUGGGAAGCGUCUGAAAUCAUCAGAAAAGGAAAAAAGGAGAAAGGAAAAAUGAACUAAAGCGGAAAAAAUUACACUGGAUUUGGAUGCGGAGGAGAGAGAGAGAUAAGAAGCAUAGAAAACUUGAAACAAAUCCGCAACUCGAUACAAUCUCUUCAAUUUAUAAACUUCUGAACAGUUACAACUGUCAAGGGAAAAUGAUGACGGUUCCACAGAAGAUCUAGAAGAUCUGAGUGCGAAAAGAUACAACCUUUAAGGAAAAAACAGAUGAUCUGUUUAAGAGACGCCUGUGAGGAGGUAUGAUGAAGCCGUCGAUUGCUAUAGUAAAUCUAGUACGUCAUUCUUUUGUUCCUAACCAAAACCUUAACCAUUAAAUUAUAUCACAUACACGAUUCUCACCAUUAGAUUUUGAUUUUUUCCUAUAAUAAAAUGAUGAUGUCAUCAGUUAGAUAAAAAAAGAUUUGCUAUUAUAUAUAGAUAAUAAAUAUAUACUAUUUCGAAAUUCAAACCCUAAACCCUAAACUCAAUUCUAAACCCUAACCAUCAAUCAUAAACCAUAUUAUAUUUUGAAAUAUGAACCAUAAACCCUAAACCAUCAAGCUUAAACCCUUUUAUUUUUUGAAAUACAGACCCUAAAUCCUGAAACAUCAAUUCUAAACUCUAAACCCCGAAACAUCAACUCUAAACUCUAAACCCUAAACCCUAAAAUUCAGCUCUAAACCCUAAACCAUCAACUCUAAACCCUAAAUUUUCAACACUAAACCCUAAACCCUAAAACGUAAACUCUAAACCCUAAAAAGAAAACUCUAAACCCUAAACCCUAAAAAAAUGACCCUAAACCCUAAAACAUCAACUCUAAACCCUAAACCUUCAACUUAAAAUCUAAACCCUAAAUCCUAAACCCUAAACCCUAAACCCUAAAACCGUAGAGUUGAUGUUUUAGGGUUUAGAUUUGAAGGUUUAGGGGUUUAGGGUUUACAGUUUACUUUUAGGGUUUAGAGUUUACAGUUUACUUUUAGGGUUUAGGGUUUAGAGUUUAGGGUUUAGGGUUUAGGGUUUUGAUUUUUAAGGUUUUGAUUUGAAGGUUUAGGGUCUAGGAUUCAAAUUUCAGAAAAAUAUAGGGUUUAGAGUUUACGUUUAGGGUUUUGAGCUGAUGUUGUAGGGUUUAGAUAUGAAGGUUAAGGGUUUAGAGUUUAGAGUUGAAGUUUCGCGGUUUAGGGUUUAGAGUUGAUGUUUCAUGGUUUAGGGUUUAGAGUUGAUGAUUUAGGGUUUAAAGUUGAUGUUUUAAGUUUAGAUUUAGGGUUUAGGGUUUACUUUGAAGGUUUCAUUUAGAGUUGAUGAUUUAGGGUUUAAAGUUGAUGUUUUAAGUUAGAUUUAUAUAAAAGUAUUAAUUUCCUAAACCAUUAGAUGAUCAGCGCACUGUCUGUACGGUG
RNAcentral lists this long non-coding RNA (55455 nucleotides) under Brassica napus (rape). Its description in RNAcentral is "long non-coding RNA (BNAP_LNC021841)". The record is from RNAcentral. Lineage: Eukaryota; Viridiplantae; Streptophyta; Magnoliopsida; Brassicales; Brassicaceae.